ACAAUUUUUACUAAAAUGAAAUAAUUUAUUCAAUUUAUAUACAUAUAUAAGAUAAAUUUUAGAUAUGAUAUAUGUGAUAGCCAAUUUUGGCCCGGUCAAGUAAAAAAAUAAAGAAACCCAAAUAAAAGUCCAAUUUCUUUAGUCCAUUUACAAUAUGUGUGACCUAAAUUACUAAACUCAACAGGCCCAAACCAAAACUCUAUUAGCCUAUUACCAAAACUAACCCUAAUAGCCCACUAUCUUUAUUUUUUUUCAGCAGCCACCAACCCUUCCCCAAGAUGCAGCAGCUGCUCAGCCCCCAUGCGCGCCGCCUCGCCUUUUCACCAGCCAACCACCAGCCUUUCACUCCUCUGACACCUGCAAUCAAAUCCAACACAACAACAGAGAGCAUGCAGAAGAAAUAAAUAGCUAAAGAACAAAAAAACAUAGAACGAACAGUUUGUAAAUUGGCUUUUAAAAGCCAAAAUCUAUACUUGUAAUUUUUUUUUACGAACAUUGGAAAUCAAAAAACACAAAAGGUUGAUAUCUGAUUCUUCUCUCUUUGUUUUUUAUUUUAUUUCGUUUCCUUUUAUUUCUCUAAUAUUUCUUUUGAUUUUAAUACAAAUCUAUUAAAUCAAAGUAGAUAUAAAACAAAUAAUAAGGAAGGGAGAAGGCCUUACCGGAAUCGCUCGUCGUUUCAUCGCCGGAGGGUUCUCCUUCGUCGUCGGGAUCGGGCCGAAUAAGGAAGGGAAGACCUUUACUUUCGCAACUUUUGGGCUGAGAAGGCUCCGCCUUCGGGGACGCCUUGAAACGUGGCUUAAAGCCCGCCCUUGCGCGUCGUCGGCCGUCGUGUUCAGUGGCGGUGCGGCGGUGGGAUGGUGCCUCCCUUGGUCGGCCAAACAAAAGGCUACAAGGGAGGAGAGAAAAGCUGCUGUUUUUUUUUUCUUUUUCUUUUUUUUUAAACCUAGGGCUAAAAUGAAACAAGCACAAAAUUUAGCCUUUUAUCAAGCUACCAAACGACACCAUUUAGAAAGGGGAGGGGUCCGCAUGUCUCCUUUGAAUGGGAAAUUACCCGCUUUGGUCCCUCCCAUUUUUCCUGAUAUUUGAUUUAGUCCCGAUUUCCUUUUUUUUUCUUUUUAAAUCUAGCCCGAUCAUUUUAUUCCCUCUCUGAUUUGGUCCCUGAUCUGGACUAAUGAAACACAGCGUAUAGACUUGGGACAUUACUCAAAUUGGUCCUCGCAAGUCUCGGCGCGUUUCAAUUUAGUCCCUGGUGGCCCCUUUUUUAUUAUUUCAAAUUUAUACCCUGGAAUUUUGAUUUGUUUUCAUCUAUAUCCUAAAUUCAUUUAAUUUAUUCUCUUUACAUCUAUCUUAAUUUGUUUAAUAUACUGUUUGUUCAUAUCAUUAUUGUUUGUUGUAACUCACUUUAAUAUGUUGUUUAUUCUAAUUAUUACUUUAUCUCAACUUACUUUAUGUAUGUAUUAUUUAUUUUAUAAUCCUUACUUAUCAUAUUUGUAUAUAGAUAUAUAUGCCAUCUAUUUCAAGUUUCUGUAUGUGUGCUAUUAUUUCAAAACUGCUUCGCUAUAUACUUAUUUCAAAUUAUAUUACGUUGUUUAUUCUUUAGUUAUUAUGUAUUAUGUAUAUCUAAUAAUUCUUUAUAUAUUAUAUCUAAAUCGUUAUUAUAAAGUAUACUUAUAUUGUCUAUUUUUAAUUCUUUUACGUAUCAUAUAUUUUAAACUUCUUAUUAAUUACUUUUAAAUUAACUUAUAUAUUAUUUAUUUUAAAACUAUUCAUAUAUGUCAUUCUUUAAUUUGCUUUGUGUAUUAUAGAUUUUAAAAUGCUUUAUACAUUAUUUAUUUUAAACUUGUUUUAUGUAUUAUUCAUUUUAAAUUGUUUUAUUGUUUACUUUAAUUUCUUUUCCCUAUAUUAUCAAUUUCAAAUUUUUAUAUGUAUUAUCCAUUUUUAUAUAUACCCUUUUUAAAUGUUUUGUAUGUUACUCAUUUUAAAUUUCUAUCUACAUAAUAUUUAUUUUUGACUUAUUUUUAUUAUUCAUCAUAAACUAUCUUAUAUAUUAUCUAUUUUAUACUGUUUUGGUUUUACAUAUCAUUUUAAAUUAUUAUAUACAUGUUAAUCAUUUUACAUUGCUUUUCAUUUAUUUAUUUUAGACCUUUUUAUAUAUCAUUUUUGAAUUACUUAUUAUUUUAAAUUUAUAUAAUGUUUAUUCUUAAACUGUCUUUUUGUAUAGGGCAUUUAUUUUCAAAUUUUCAUAUGUUUUUAUCUUAAACUCCUUGAACAUUGUUUAUUUUUUUUUAUGCAUAUAUUUAUGAUAAGUUUUUAUGCUAUGUAUAUUAUUUAUUUUGAACUUCUUUUUAUGUAUUAUGAUUUUAAACUUUUCAUUAAUGAUUUUAGAUUUUUUUUAUUUUACUUUAAACUGCCUUUAUAGUAUUUAUUUUAAAAUCCUUAUGUAUAUAUUUUAUAUUUAAGAUUAUCUAUUUGUUUGAUUUAAAUCAUUUUAUAUUAUUAACUCAUUUCUAUGUUUAUUAAGCUUGUUAUUUAAUUGACAUAUGUUAUGUUAUUGCCAUUGUGCGUGUUAUAAUUCGUUUAUUCGUAUUUCCAUUAUUGUCAUUUGCUCGCGUAGUACUUUAUUCAUGUAUCAUCACUCUAUGUCGCAUCAUAUUUUUAUUUCUUAUUAUCGCCUUAUGAAUUAAAUUUCGCUACAUUUAUCUAAUAAAUCGCUUCGUUUUAACCUAAAUAAACAACACAUGUUGCUCGAAUAUUAUAUUCGUUACUAUUCAAAAACAAAAUUUUCCAAAUAAGGCAAUGUUAUGCAUUUUGAAAUAUCGAGGAAUUGUGCCCUAACUUACGGGGUUUCGAUUUUCUCGUUGUUUCUAAAUGGCUAAAUAUCCUUUUCAAGUUUUAAAACACGAAACUCUCAUUUAAAUUAAAAGACGACCUUGUGUUCGGGAAUUCAUGGUAUUGUGUCCUAACUUACGGGAUGUGAUACUCUGAUAUCUCGAGAUAAGGAAAUCUUUAAACAAAUUGUUUUUAGCUAAUUCAAAAAUUUUAAAAUCGAUAUUUAAAGAAAAGAUCGUAUUUUAAAUUCAUUCCCGAUUUUCGAUUUUCGACAUUAAGACACUAACUAAUCAAUUCGGUACCAAUUCUUGGGCGUGUCGAGGGUGCUAAUCCUUCCUCGCACGUAACCGAUCCCCGAACUUGUUCUCUUAAAAUUCGUAGACCGAAACACUGUUUUAGUAAACUAAAAUGUUUUAUUAAAACAAAGGUGAUUCGAUCACACGUAAUAAGGACCGGUGGCGAUUCCCGUUUUAAUUUUCGUUUUCAAAAUCAAGUCGAUUCCCGUUUUUUCAAAAAAAUAGUUUCGACAAUAUAAAUAUAAAUUAAAAAAUUCUAAAUACAAUAUACAAAGAAAAAUAACAUGAAUACAUAAAUUAUUGAGUGUCCUAAUCAAUAUAAAAAAAAUCAUUACGUAUAUAUAAAAUUCUAUAUAUUAAUUUAUAACACUUUAAGAACAAAAAUUAAUACCUAUUAUGAAGAAAUAAAAAAUUCUCUCAAGAUUGAAUCAUUAUUAAAAUUUAUGUAAAAAUAUGGACUGAAAUAAGAUAAGACACAAAUAUAUUGUUAACACACUAAUUUUUAUCUAAAUUAAAUACUUAAAAUAGGCAAUACAAGAAAAAAAAGAAGAAGAGAUGAAUUGAUAUACGGUAUAAACAUAAUAAGAAAAAUUAAUUAAAAUAAAAUACGAAAAAUAACAUGAGCAUGAUACAAAUUAGAGGUGUUCAUGGGCCAGGUUCAACUAAAAAAUUAUGUCCAUUUUUGGCUUGGGUUCAAAAAACGGGCCUAAAAUUUAACCCAAGCCCGACCCGGACAAAAAAAACUAAAACUCGAGCCCAUCCCGGCCCGCCCGUAUUAAUUUUUUUAUAUAUAUUAUAUUAUUUAUAUAUAUAUAGAUAUAUAGAUAUAUAUAUAUAAAAUACAUCAAAAAUACUAAAAACAUCAAAAUAAAUAUUUCCUAAUAAAUUGAAAAUAAAUUUUAAAAAAUAUAUAGACUUAAAUAACACUAAGAUAGAUACAACUUAACAAGAAAGUGCCUCUAAAAUAAUAAUAAAAAUUAACAAAUGCUUUAAAAUAAUAACAAAAUUAACAAUAAAAUAAGUUUUAUAUAAUAUCCAAACAAUAACAACAAAAUAGUAGCAACAUAAUAAUAAAAUGAUAGCAAAAUAGGGAGAAAACAACAAGAAAAUAACAUUAAAAAAUUUAAAAAAAUUACAGAACUUUUUGGCCUUUUUUAAACGGGCUUUAAUUUUUUGUCCAAACACAUAUUUUGAACCUAUGUUUUGCCCAAACCCUCCUACAUUUCGGGCGGGCCUUUGGGCCGGGCAUGAACACCUCUAAUACAAAUGUAAAAAAGCAUUCAAAAAUAUAUAAAAAUAAUUUAUUAAGAUGAAAACUUUGAACAAAAAUAAUAUCACGAAUAUGAACAUACAAAUAAUUCUUUAAAAUUAUGUAUAUCAAAUAUAAUAUGGAAAAAUAAUUAGCAUAAAAAAACUGAAUAGAAUGCAAGUACGAAAGCAUGUCAAAAUCUAUACGAGUAUAUAGUAUUUUGAAUGAAUAAAAAGUGAUAAAUAAAUAAAUAAAAACAUGUAUAUGAAUAUCUAUAAUAAAAGGAAGACUUAGGUCAUUCUUAGAUGACAACAAUCCAUAAUUUUUUUAUUAUAUACAUAUAAGAUAAUAAUUGGAUUUCAAUUUUGAUCUUUUAUUUGUUUUCGAAUUAUAUAAUAAUGAUUAAAUUUCAAUUUUAGUUUCUAUAAUAUAUUCAUAUUUAACAUAUUCAUAUUUGAGACUUAAUAUCUAUAUUUUAGUUUUUGACAUAACUUAAUACCUCAACUUUUAUAAGGUAAUGUCUUUUUUAUAUGACAUGCACCUAAAAUUUUUUUUACAUAAAUUUUAAUUCUGAUCCAUUUACUUCUUUUUCUUUUUUGAGAUUAUAUAACAAUUACCAAAUUUCUGUUUUGGUAUCUACAAUAUGUUCAAAUUUAAUAUUUAAUAUGUAUUCUACAUAAUUUGGUAACUCAACUUUUAUAACGACAUUAGUUUAACUACCUCAAUUUGUAUAACGACAUUAGUCCAAUUACUUUAUUAUAAUUAAAAUGUUAACAUGGAUUUUAAGAAUUGCUAACGUUGUUAAAAUUCUUUGUUAAAUUUAAGUCCAUUACAAAAUCUUUUUUUUUUUGUCAUAUGACUACCAAGUGAACAUUUAAAAAAAAAUUAAAUUGUUACACCAACAAAUUUAACUAAAAAUCUUAACGGUAUUAAUAGUGUUGUCCAUUUAUCAAACUCAUCAGUAUUUAUGGCUUAUGAAAACGAAACCUAAGCCAAAAUCUAAUUCUUACAAAUAAAUCACAUAAUCAUUAAGAAUAAACGACCUCUAUGAGUUAAUUUCUUCUAAGGAUGUUUCAUUAUUUAAAUGUUGUGCAACAUUAUUAGGACCUUCAUUUAUUAUCGGAAUAGCAUUUAUCAUAGAAGUUGAUAAAGGAACAUUUAUAAAUAUAGAAGAUUUUGCUCUAGUUUCUUGUAUACUUAACCACACUUAUUAACUUCAUCAUUUGCAAGGAAUCUAGCAUUACUAAUUUCUAUGGUUCUUAGACGAUGGUUUGAAAUGUGAAACAUAUAUCCUUUAUAUUUCUCUUGAUAAUUGAUAAUAUAUCCACUCAUUGUACGAUAUUAUGCAUCAUCGUUUUUGCUUGAUAACCUUAAAUAUGUAGGUGCCUCAAGUUGGGUUUCCUUCCACUCUACAACUCAAAAUGAGUUCUAUGUACUAUCUUACUAAGAACCUCAUUUAACAUGUAUGUAUGAGUUUUGAGCACAUGCAUUAUUAAGUUCAAGUAUGCAUUUCUAGAACACGAUUUUCUUAUGUGUGCUUAGCAUAGUAUAUUGUAUAGAUAUGUCACAACUUUUAAGGAAUUUUACAUAUGGAUUUGAACAUUCUCUUAAUUAAAUAUCUUUCUCAUAAUAUUCAUCACUUUUAUCUGAUCUUACUAUUUCUACAUUUCUAUCUAAGUGUCUUUCAACCUCAUUAAUGUAUAUUUCAAGAAUAUUUAUUGGUUAAUAUUAUUUAUUAAGUAAAUGAAUAUAAUAAUAUCAUGAAAAAUCAUCAAUAAAUGUGAAAAAUAUUUUCCAUUAAAAUAUGAAACAUCAAAACGUUUAUAUAUAUAUGUAUGUAUAUUAGUGUGUAUCAUUUCAAGAAUACUUUCUUAGUAUGCUUGGUUUACUUUUCUUUAAUACAAUUCAUACAAAUAGUAAGAUCGGUAAAAUUUAUAUUCGGUAAUAUCCAAUUAUUUACCAACCUUUCUAGUCUUAUCUGAAUGCAUGAUCAAUAUGUUUAUGUAACGAAGAAAAUUUUUCAUUUAGUAUACUACGUUUUAAUUCCAACAUUGCUCUGAUCAAUAAGUAAGGAAUCAAUUUUUUUUAAAAUUUCAAUUUAUAUAAACCAUACACACUUCAAUAAACUUUAUGUAUUAUUAAUAUUUUAAGGUUAAAUUUUAUUCUUAGUCUUUAUAUUUUACGAAAGUUUAGAUUUAGUUUAUGUACUUUAAUUUGGUCAUUUUUAGUCAUUUUAUUUUUCAAAUUUUAAAUUUUUAGUCCUCGCCAAACAACAAUUAGUAAAUCCAUUCAAAUAAGUUCUACUAUUUCCUAAAUUUGAUACGAGAAACAUAUAACAAUAUGUGUAAUGACAUGUUAGCUUGUUAUUUUCACAUAUUACUCACUAAAAAAUUUAGUUAAUGGAUUAAUGAUUGCGAUUUGUGUUAUGAUUGAAAUUUCAAAAUUCGCUAAGUAUAAGGACUUAAAAUAAUCCAAUUGAAGAAUAUGAACAAAAUCUACAAUUGUAUGCAUAAUACAUUGUAUAUGUAUUAAUUCGAUUAAUACAAAAUUUGAUUUACCCGUCUCUAUCACUGGAUUAAGGUUACAGGAUAUACAGUACAUAAAAAAAUAAAAUCAUGCUAUAUCAAUUCAAAUAUCUCUAAACGAUCAUGAAUCAUCAAACAUAUAGUCAAAAACAUGUUAUUCAUACAAUAUUGGGGUUAAAUCAAACUUAUGAAAGCUCUAAAAAUAAUUCAGAACAAAACAAGGACUAAUCAAAAAAGUGUGGUAAAAAUGCAAAAUAGGGGUUACAUGGUCAUGUGGCCAGGCUGUGUGACAGGUUGAGGCUGUAUGGGGUUGAAACACACAGUUCUAUAGCCAACCGUGUACAAGAGGUCAAGUCAUGUAAAGUAGAGUCACACGGCGCUGUGAGAGACUAUGGUCGUGUAACAAUUUCACCUACCAUUUCAUUAAGAGCACAUGACCAUGCCAGAUGCCCAUAUAAGGCACACGGCCGUGUGUUAGACCGUUUUCACCUAUGGGUACUCUAUAAUACAAGUUACAAACCACAAUCUCUUAUAUGCCAUAUGUGCACUUUAUACCAUUCCUUAAACAAAAUCAAAAUGCACCAAAACAUAUCAAAAAUAUAAUUUAAAAUAUCAUUCUUAUAUGCCUAACGAAUAUGUCAUUUUGGCACCAUCACAGCCAAAACAUUACCAUUACCAAAAUAUUUAACAAAUAUAAAACUAUCUCGAUUCAAUUAUAACUUUCAACCAAACAUAUAAGCAUGUGAUAUCAUUAUGCAUUUUAUCAUGAAUUAUUAAAAAAACCUUACCUUUUUAACAACCUAAGAUAUGCAUUAACACAUACCUAUUUUGACCAUAUAUGUCUCAAGCAAACUUUUAACUUUAUAACAUAUAAAACCCAUCCAAAACUUAACUUCAUUACACACUUACAUGAUUCAAAGUAUCUCACUUGUCUAAUAAACAACCAUCCAUCCAAACAUUACCAUUUCAUAAUUCCUCAUGCCUCAAAGAAAAUUGUAACACCCCUAACCCAUACCCGCCGCCGGAAUAAGGUUUCGGAGCUUUACCAAAACAUUCAAAACAUUUUUCCAUUUAACUUUGUAAAUUUCUAUUCAUUUACCGAGAUCAUUCAUAACGUCUCUUGAUCAGGUCCUCGAGGCCCAAUACAAGCAUUAGAAUUGAAUCGGGACUUAAUCGGGACCUCUAAGAAAUUUUUGCUAAAUUACAAUUUUUUUCCAAGGUGCAAGGCUCACACACCCGUGUGGUCCAAGGGACACGCCCGUGUGACACUGGGACACGCACGUGCUAGAGGCCAUGUUCGACCCCGUGUAAAUCUCUGACUUGCACACACAGCCAUACCACACGCCCGUGUGCUAGGCCGUGUGGUUAAUUAAUUCAAUUUUAAUUAGGUGCAGGUUUCACACGGCCAAGACACACGCCUGUGUUCCAGGCCGUGUGGUACACACGGUUGAGACACAUGCCUGUGCCUCUGCCCGUGUGCCCAAUUCUGAGCAUUUUGUUUCUCAAAAUUUAGGUACAGGGGACACAUGACCUAACCACAUGCCCAUGUUACCAGGCCGUGUGUCACACAUGAUCUAGACACACGCCCGUGUGUCUGUCCGUGUGGAUAAAAUAAAGUCAUUCCUAGCUCCAUUUUUCACCCAAGGUUUCAUCCAAGACCUGCACUUGAGAUACACAACCAAUAGCAACCAAUUCAAGUAUUUAAAUUAGGCAAAUUCAUCAUUAAACAAGGCAUACCACUACAUGCAUAAAUGAUUAUAAAUUUACCUUGGAUUAACUUAGGCAAUAGCAACCUUUGAUAACAUAUUCAUAACAUAUCACAUAUGAACAUAACAUCAUAAUCUACUUAAUCAUACCAAAAUAAGCCAUUACUAGCCAUCCCAAUGGCUAGGUUACAAAAUAACAUUUUCAAACCACUAUUGGCCAAGUUUCUCUAUACAUGCAUUAUACCAAAAUGAUUUGACUAAAUAUACCCAAAAUGCAAGACGAUAGUGUGACGAUGCUCCAGCGAUCUUCCAACCUUCACGAGCUUCUGAGCACUCUAAAACGGGGGAAAAAUAAAAGGAGUAAGCAUUAUGUGCUUAGUAAGUUCAUAUAACAGAAACUAAACUUACCAAUCUUGUUUAUUAAAAUCUAGGCAUACAAGGUUGUGUUUUCAUCCAUUUGGCUAAAUGGCCUAAUCAUAUACAUUCCAUCAAACAUGUUAGUCACCAAACUAUUCAAAUAAAUCAAGUAACAUAAAUGAGCUCAUCAAGAAAUAUUCUUUCAAGUCAUUAUCAAUUCAUCUCAAAGUUCUUGUGCCAUGUCAAGAGUUAUAUGUCCGUUGAAUCGUUGAAAUUUCGAAGAAGGUUUAAAUAACACACUCGAGGUAUACGAUUUAUUAAUUCGUCAAUUCUUAUCAAGGUUGCCCCUUAGAGUACUUAACCAAAGAUCACACUCACAAGCCACGUGUCGUAUAACAAGAUUACCAGUUCAGGCUAAAUCCUUUAUAUAGCGUAUGCUCGCAAGAGCUCAAUUAGGGUUACCAGUCCAAGUUAACCCUAAUCAUAACAUAUGCUCGAGAGGUAUUAUAUCGAGAUUACCCGUCUGGGCUAAAUCUUUUUUUUUUAUAACAAGGUUAUUGGAAUUACUCGUCUGAGCUAAAUCCCGUCCGCAACAAAUGCAGGACCCUACUUGUUUCGGGAAAGCGCACACAAUAAUCGAAAUUCAACAUCCAAUUGGGACUAACCCUUUAUCACCAUUUCAAGUUUAUUUUCAUUUUUCAUCAUAGCAUACAAGUGAAGCACAUCAACGUAAAUCACAUUACCUACAACACAACAAUUAAUUAACAUAAUUACAUGUCCGAUUAAGUUACACGAACUUAUCUCGACACUUGUUUGCAUAAAAGUCUACUAAUCUGAAAUCUUUUCUUUUCUCGAUCUAACCUCGAAUUAGUGUUGUCCAGAUCUAUAUAAAUGAUUUUAAAAAUUAAUUUCAAACUUAGAUGGACUCAAUUUAUGUCCUAGGAAAAAUUACUAUUUUGUCUCUAACUUUUCCAAAAAUUUUGAUUUUGUCCCUAAGCCCUGAAAAUGAAACUUGUACAAAUUACUCCCUAUUCCAAGCCUAACCAAAGCCCCAUUACAAAUUUUCCAGCACAUGUAUUCAUAAAAUUUCAGAAUUUUUCAUCAAAUUUUACAACUUUUCAUUUUAGUCCCUAAAUUUUGUUUUCAUCAAAAAUUACUUUGUAAAAGUUGUUUAUCUAUCAGUAAUUUUUCAUUUUCUACCAUAAAUUUCUAAUUUCCAACAUAAUACAUCCAUGACCAAUUUUCAUACCUUGAUAAAUUUUCAAAUUAAUCCCUCAAAUAGAGAAAUUAAGCUAUACCAAUUUUAAAAAUACCAAAAUUACUAAAAAUGAGACAGGGAAAAUUACCCAAUUAGGCCUUGAAAGCUUCUUUUCUCUCUCCUAGGGUUUCCAUGUAUUUUUAAGGUUGAAUAUGACAAAAUAAGAUGAUAUAAUUCUUUUCAUCUUUUAAUUAAGUAAUAUUUUGCUAUUUCCAAUUUAGUCCUUACCUUUUUUCUAUAAUUUCAUGGAUGAGUCACCAUAAAAAUCUACAUACUUUUAUUAAUGGUUUAAUUACCAUAUAAGGACCUUAAGUUUUGAAUUCCAUAGCUAUUUGAUCCUUAUAGUUACUAGAAUUCAACUUUUGCAUUUUAUGCGAUUUAGUCCUUCUCAUAAUUAAACACUUAAUCGAUAAAAUUUUCAUAUCAAAAUUUUCACAUGUCAUUUCUAAUUUAUUACGGGCCAUAUGAUAAAAUAAAAAUAAAAUAUAUUUUAGGUCCGAUUUGUGGUCCUGAAACCACUGUUCCUAUUUCACUGAAAAAUGGGUUGUUACAAUAAUCACAUAUCAAAAUAACAUGCUUAAGCCAUUCAUUCAUCAACAUGCCAAAUAACAUUUAUAAACAUAUUUAGAAGGAUCAUUUUAAUCACAUUGCCACAUCCACCACAUAGUUCUAAAAUAACCUAUAUGCAUGCCACAAAAACAAAAUAUAAUGAGUCAAAAUCUUCCAAGACUGAAGCUUGAUAGUGUGAGUCUUAAAGUUGAUCGACUGCCUAGUUCUACAAAACGUCAAAUGAAAAAUAAGAAAUGAAACAAAGUAAGCUUAUAAUAGCUUAGUAACUUCAUAUGAAAUUUCAACUUAAAUGCCUUAUCAUUAUAACAAUUUAGGUAUUUGUACUCAAAAACACGAAAUGACAUAUUCUUGGCAUCCUUACUCAUUCGUGUACAUCUCCACAAAAUAAGCAAUAAGUUAGCAUUUCACGUGAUAAGUUCAUAACAUUUGAAUAUGUAUACCUGUAAAAGUAAACUAUUUUACUCAUUCAUAACAUAAUUACAUUUAUGAACCUUAAAUCAAGCUUACGAUGCUUUAAAAAUAGAUUGGGAACAAUCAAUAACUAAUUUGAAACAAAAUAAAAAACUAUAGAAAAUUUUGAAAACAGGGGUUACACAGCCGUAUAAUAGAGCCCAAGUCGUGUGGCUUAAAAACAUGGUCAUGUGGCCAAAUUGUGUACAAUUUGAAGAAAGGGUCACUAUAACUCUUGAAAAGAGUUAUAUUUCAUGCAUUUAGACCUAGCUAAUUGCUUGUACUUAAGUAACAUUUUGUUGCAUUUUUAGGACAUUUUAGUUAGCAUUUUUAAUAUUGCAUUAGGACUUGGACUGUGGUGGAAUUAAGUGUUUUUAAUUGUUUGUGGUGGAGUUUUUUGUUGGUGUGGUAGGAAUAGGUCUUGGAACGAGGAAAAAAGGGAGUGAAGUUUUGUCAGGGCAAAAUGCAGAUAAUUUGCCAGCACAGAUGCCGUGGCAAUGCCGGGAAGACCAAGUCAACAUUUUUCAUAGGACGUUGUGCUGCCGAAGUGUGGACUGGGCAAGUGAAAGCUGUUUCCCAAAGUUCUUCCAUUAUUUCCUUCAAAAGAUUGAAUUGUAAUAGUUUUUUUUAAAUAGAAUGGUUGGGAUUUUAUUCAAAUAGAAGCCUAUAAAGACAGGCCUAACAAAACAAAACAGAAAUUACAACCUAAUGAAGAGGCUAAACAUAAGGGAAACUAGUUUUGAUAAAAAGAAAAGAAAACUGACAAAACAUUAAAAAAAACAUAAAUGAUCCCAACCACCCAGGCAGAUUGUUCAAUUCCAAAGCAUCUGAAAAGCAAAACCCUUCAGUAGCCUGUCAGAGUAUUAUCCUAUCAAUCCUAUCAAUCUGCUUCAAUAAUAUACUAGAAGGUGUUCUUUCAAAAACCACUACACCUCUUCAGAAUCUUGGCACUUCUUUAUCUAAAAAGACCCAAAAAUUCCUCUUCCAGCUAUUUCCUUCCCCUCUUCUAGAACGAGGAACCGAUAUCAGAUGUGGCUUGUACAAUGUAGUUAUCGUCGAUCUACUUCAACAUCAUCGAGUGCAUAGGCAGGAACAUUGCCCACAAGAUAAGUUGCUUCAUUUCUUGUAAGACCAUCUGUAACCAAAGCAUGGGCGCACCGUUUAUAUGCUUUUGUACAUGGUGGAAAACACAGUUUUGGAAAAUCACACAUGACAUACAAAUAUUAUGAAUAUAUUCUACAAUUACUGACUGUUCCCCUUUAUUUUCUUUCAAAUUAUGAAUCCCAGACAAGCAACCUCCUUCGAAUUCUACAUUCAGAAAACCCAUUUGAGCUCCUGUCAAAACCACUUGAAAGCAAGCCAUCGCUUAUGUUGCAAAUGGUGAAGGUAUGUUGGCAUGCAAAAUAAUUUUUGAAAAAAAAUAUUACCUGUGUCGUUUCUAAUAAUAAUCCCAAAACAGGAUCUAUUAUCUUGCUUGCAAAAUCCUGCAUCAAAAUUUAUUUUGACAAAAGGGUUCUGAGGUGCCUUCCACACACCAAUGAGUAUGAUUCGCUCUGCAAUUUUGCUCUUAUCCCUCAUAUUUUCACCCAAAUACUUCUUGAUGAAAUAUCCUAUCUCCUUUACAGUCGCACUUUUCCCUUCAUAUAGUAAUUUGUUGCGUGCAGUCCAGAUUGCCAACAACCCACAAUAAAACAAUCGACAAAGGUACAAGAAACUAUUUUCAAAAGAAUUGUUUCCCUAUUCUUCCAUUUGAGUCAUAUGCAUCUACGUACAUUGUGUGAACCCUAACUGUUGCCAGUUCUCCUUUAUUUGUAAACACUAUUGAAAAACAUGUUCAACUGUUUGUGGUAGCAUAGGUAGUUCACAGAGUUCAUCAACCUCCUGUAGUAUAGGUUUGCUUAAGUAGGCACAUGGUUGUUCAUAAUCCUUUAUAUUGUAAUUUUUAUUUUGGAAGGUAGAUCAAUAUUCCAGAUCCUUUUGUAUAAGUUGGAGUAGGGGUAGAAAUUUCCAUCAGUAGAAAUUUCAUAAUGGUUAUGUAUCAACCAUUUGUAAGCACUUCGGAUCAUAUAUUCUCCCGUAGCUUCACCACUCUAAGUGCGAAAGGAAUGGCUAAAAUCUGUCGAGCAUCAUCAACAACAAAGGUAGAAUUGAUUAAAUCCUCCUUCCAAUUAUUUGUUUACUGGUCUAUUAAAUCUGUCACUCUUUGAAUAGAAUCAUCUUGUAUGGGAUUUUGAAUUCGUUGAUUUUGAUUUCCAGGUAUCCAAGCAUCUGCCCUCACUAAGACCUCAGUACCCAAACCAAUUCUUCAGCACAUUCCAGCCUCCAAAAUGCCCUUGGUGGCCCAUAUGCUUCUCCAGGUAUAGGAAGGUAGUUGUCCUAAACUUGACUCUAUAAAGCUAGUAUUUGGUAAAUAUUUUUCUUUUAGAGUAUGUGUUAAUAAUGAAUCCGGAUAACUAAGCAACCUUUAUCCUUGUUUGGUAAGCAGGGCUAAAUGAAAUUGAGAUAAAGGGCAAAAACCUAGGCUAUCGUAAAUUUUCAAUUCACAUAAUAUGUUCCAUGUACACCAAUGAAUACCACGUUUAUUACUACUUCAACACCACUAGAUUUGACUAAUAAUGUUUUCUAAUUAAGAACAAAUCACUUUUGGUAAUAAAAAAACAUAACAUAGAAUAGGUAGGCAGAACUUGGAGGACUGAUUUUAUAAAUACCUCUCUUCCUUCUUAUGAGAGAUGUCGAGUACUCCAUUUAGAAAUUUUUGUGCCAUCCUAUCCUUAAGACUCUGAAAAGCUUUUCUUUUACCAUCUUUAACAAUGUUUGGUAGGCCUAGGUACUACUCUGACAAUUGUAGUAGCUAAACGUAAUGUCAGAUAACAUUUUGGUUUGGAAUUUUAAUUCCUAACCUAUGAGCUAAAUGUCAUAGGAUUGGGAUUACUUUUGAUGAAACCUUAACUGUUUCUAUGGAUACAAUAUAUAUCUAUUUCACUUUACUGUUACAUUUGAUUGUUCUUAUUUCUUAAUUAAAAUGCAUAUCUCUAGACAUAGAAGACUGUUCGCAUACUUAUAAACUGAUUCUAAUCCAAAAGGGUUGGAUUGGUUGGAUUAAAAUAGACUGGAAUGAGUAAGUAUUCGAUCGACACUUGUAGUCGAAUCUAGACAUAGAGUCACGACCAUAUAGAAGGAACCCAUGCAAGAUAUCUAAAAAGCUUAUAAAAACGGGCAAGGUAACUUGAGGUUUUGUCCUCAUGAAAGGCAGGCUAUUUUAGAACUGUUCCGUGCAGUAAGUAGAUACGGUUUUGCCAAGGAAUUAUUGAUAGUCAGGGUUGAUUCUGGGUAAUCUUGACCUUCCAAAUCAAUAUCACUUUAUCUUUAAUCUGUUGUAGUAUCUUUACCACAUCAUAUUUAGUUGUUUAUUUCUUUAUUUACAUUCUAUUCGAAUAAUCACUCUUGUUAUUGCCAUGACAUUUCUGGUUUCACUUUUGCCAUAUCAUUUCCAAGUAUUCAUUAAUUCCAUCUAUCGCAUACAUCAUUAUUCCUCUAAUUAUCACUGCAUACUUACCUUAAUUUACCGUAGCAUCUUACUCGUUAGUCUUAUCAUAACAUUUUACCAUCACUUGACCAAUUUUGUGCCUCAAUCUUAUCCUCAUGAAAAUGAUACUCACUCAUCACUUUAUUACUUGAACCAAUGUGUAUACUUGCACAAAUUGCAUAUCAUAUUCACUCGUGAUAGUCACAUAAUUGUGCCGCACCCCUUGUAUUUGCCCGUGUACAAAUUGAAAUAGGGUCACACGGCCAUGUUGUGGGUCGUGUCCCAGACCAUAUGAGUAUUCGAAAUGAGGUCACACGACAGUGUCGCUAGGCCAUGUAACUCUCUGUGACCGUGUGGACAAACUUUCACCUAAAACUAAGAAGCCAUACGGCCCUGUGGGGAGGCCAUGUGUGGCACACAACCAUGUGACAGCCUGUGUCUCAGUCUGUGUGUACCUUAGAUAGCUUCUAAACCAAGCCCAAAACACUACCCAUUUCUUAGGUGCCUAACCGAAACAAAAUCGCAUAUUUACAAGCCUUCAAGACACAUUCAAAGAAACUUAAAAAAUACCAAAACAUUCAAUUAAUGUGUGUAACUAAUGUUCCCUCAUUGACACCGUAAUUCAAUUACCAUAACAAAUUCAUUCAAAGUUUACAAAUUCAUACAUUAAACUUGCUAAACUUUCCAUUCAUUCCUACCAUCCAGUCAUUCACAAGUAGCAUAAUUCAACAAAACAUAAAAGUAUGGAAAUUUACAAGCUAUGAGCCAUGACAUAUAUACAAGUGAACCAAGAAUCUAGUUAAAACUACAUCAUCCAAGUAUAAGGUGUAUCAAAAGUAUUAAGUAUUCAAAAACAUAAACAAGACACCAAUUAAAUGUCAUAUAACCUAAAGAUAAACUUGUCAAAAUCUACCGAUAGAUCUCUAGAUAGUGUGAUCUUUACGUUGAACUGAUCACCCGAUUCCACAAAAUGAUAUCUACAGAGAAACAAAAAACUGACACGAGUAAGCUUCUAUAAGCUUAGUAAGUUCAAUGGUUAAAACAAUAAAACUUAUUGAAUAAACAUAUCAUUCACGCAAUACAGUUAAUAGAUAAUAAUCCUGUCAACCACAACCAUUCAACAGGUGAAUCUUUAUGUUUAUACACAUAUUGUAUAAUAUGAUCAAUUAAACUAGAUCAUUCAAUUCCAACUCAUUUUAUACAUUCAAAAGAUCAUGUAGGCAUUUAUAAGAUUAAAUAACGAAUCAUGUAACCAUUGAAAACAUGCCCGGUGAAUGAUAUAAAUGAAUUUGGAUAUACGGUUAACCAUAUGGUACACACCAAAAUGCUCAAACAAGCCAAACCAACAGAGAACACACCUAGGUACUAGCCCGUAAGCUCACAUCCCUUCGAAACACACUUGGGCGCCAAGUGCAAAGCUUGGAAGCUUUACAUCCACCCCUGGUAACACACCAAAAUGACUGUAACUAUAACAUGAUAGUCUGCAACAAAUGUUGGACUUCGGUAUAUUCAGUGGACAGUAAUUGUAACACCCCUCACCUGUAUCCGAAGCCGAGAUAGGGUUCGAGGCAUUACCAGGAUUUCACGUUCUUAAACAUAUUAAAUCAAGUCACUAAGUUGUGUUCUAAUUUAAAACUUUUCAAAUAUGUAUAUUCUUUCCCUUAAACAGGCCUUAAAACUUGCCUUAAGGUGGUGCGGAAUAAAACCGAGAACGUUUGAUAAACUUGGGGCACCUUGGAAAAUUUCUUUCAACUUAGAGUGUCACACGCCCGUGUGACUUGGGACAUGCCCGUCCAAUCACUCCAUGUCCAAGACUUGAGCAUUCUGUUAAAUUCACACGGCCAAGAUACACGCCCUUGUGUCUAGCCCGUGUUCAUUUAACAGACUUACCAUUUUAGAUGCAGGGGACACACGACCAUGCCACACGCCUACGGGUGUGGCCCGUGUGUCACACAAGCACACGCCCAUGUACCCAACCGUGUAGACCCUAUUAGGCUAUUUUCCAAGCCUAUGGUCACCCCCUUUUAACACUUAUACUUAAUGAAUAUUAAAAACAAAGUAAAACAUAAUUAUGCUCUCAUAAAUGAUCUUUGCAAAAACUCAUUGCAUGGAAACCUCAUAUCAUUGGUUUUGUGCAUGCUAGGUUAUUUCCCAUCUUGUAUUUAUGUGUUGUCAUACCACUUUAAUACAUUCAAGAUUGGCUCGUUCUUAUGACUCAUUGCCAAUUGGAAUUUAACCAUCGCACACGACUAUAAACUUGUACGGAAAUUUCGAAGAUCAUAGCCUACUUCAAGGCAAGCCGAUCUGUAUGGCCAUAAACAAAAAGAUAGAUUUAUCUUUAUAAGCCUUCAUUUGGAAAAUCAAAUGACACAUAUAACAAAAUACUCAAAAGACCUAUACAUGCCAUUGAACUAUUUAGAAAUGUCUUUCUACCAAAGCUAGUCUAUUUGAUAGUAUACUGACUCUCCAACCGUCUUCAAAUAUUUACGAGUUUUUGAGCUUUAUGAGAGACAAGAAAAAGAGAGGGGUAAGCAUUUUUAUGCUUAGCAAGCUCAAAUAACCGGAAAGUUAACUUACUUAGUAAUUAGCAUGCAAUCAAAUUGGGUAAUAAAUUCAAUGAGCAUAGGAUGGCUUCCCUAUCACUUACACUCACUCACUGAGUUAGUCACAUAACAAUGCACUAUGAAAGUUAUCUUAGAUGAGCUCCUCAUUCAACAUCUCAUUUGUAUAUAUAUGUCACAUUAAUCUCGUUGAGUUUCUAGGAAAUCUCGAUAGGAUAUCCAUUUACCGUUAAUUUGUACAAUGAUCGUUUCAAAUAUGCACUCCUGCGAACCUCACAUCUUAUGGCAGGAUUACUAGUCCAGGCUAUAUCCCCCAUUUUAUGAUCUCAUAAGGUGAUGUCAGUAUUACCAGUCCAAGCUAAAUCCCUUACAAUGACAAACACCCUUAUUGAGCUCGGAUCUGAAUUACCAGUCCAAGCUAAAUUCAGAUCCUAAUCGGAUUACCCGUCCGGGCUAAAUCCAUAAUACACACAUAUUCUUCGGGAGGCUCGACCAUUCAAAGGAACACCCGUCCGAGCUAGACCCUUUUAUAAAUGAGAUCAACAGAUUACCCAUCCAAGCUAAAUCCUUACUACAACACAUGCAGGACCUCAUUACAUAUGUCAAUCAUGGUUUAUCUAUCGAAUUCCCUUUUUAACCUCAACCGAGACAUUUAUCACAAUUCAUACUUAAACAUGCAUUCAUAAAUCAUAUAAUUAGGCACCUUGAGUGUUUACUUUAAGUUAUCCGAACUUACCUGGUAUUCGUUUCGGAGUCGUAUUUUGGUUAUUCCGAAACCUUUUGUUUUCCUCUAUCGACCACCGGAAUUUGUUCCUUGGGGUCUAUAACAAUAAAAAUAGAUAAUUAACACUCCACAUUAUAAAUUUUAAGUCUAAAUUCCACCCUCGGUCUAAAUGACCGUUUUCCCCUCAACCUUUCACAUUUUUACGAUUUAGUCCCUAGGCUCGUAUAAUGAAAUGCAUGCAAUUUCUACCUUACUCAAGCCUAGCCGAACACUUUUCCUUCUUAUGGUAGCCUACAUUUUCCAUUAUUUUCACAUUUCUACCACAUAUUUUACAACUUUUGCAAAAAUGUCCCUUUAGGGGUUUUUCAUGAAAAUCACCUAGGAAAAGUUGUUUAACACACAUUCAUCUUUCAUUUCCCUCCAUAAUCCAUCAAAAUACAAGUAACUCAUGCAUGGGGAAAUUUUUAAACAUGAACCCUAGCAUGAAAUAUGGGUAGAAAUGGAGAGAGUAAGCUACCGGGAUCUCAAAAUUACAAAGAACAUUAAAAAUGGGGCUUGGGAGCACUUGCUAAAGAGCUUGAAAAGCUUGGAAACCCUAGCUAUGGUGGCUUAGGAAUUUUGACUGGACAAGGGAGAAGAAUGGCUGAUUUUUUUCUUCUUUUUUCUCAUUUUAUUUCAUUAAUAUGCCAAAUGACCAAAAUGCCCUUUCUUUGAAAUUUCAUCCAUGCAAGCCCAUUUUUGUCCAAAAACUUAGAAAUUAGGAAAAUUGCUCCCCAAGACCUUCUAUUUUAUAAUCUAAAGCAAUUUCAUGCAAAUUGCUUCUAGAAUCCAAGUUUUACAAUUUAUUCAAUUUAGUCCCUAUUUUUCCAAUUGCGCACUUACUCAAAGAAUUUCUUCAUGAAACUUUAACACAUGCAUAUUCUCAUAUUCUAAACCUCGUGAUAAUCAUAAAAUAAAUAUUUUGAUGUCGGAUUUAUGGUCCCGAAACCACUAUUCCUACUAGGCCCUAUUUUGGGAUGUUACAUUUCUCCUCCCCUUAGGGACUUUCGUCCUCGAAAGUCUUACCAAUGAAUAGAUUUGGAUAUUAAAUUCUCAUGGUUUCUUUUGGUUCCCAUGUAGCCUCUUUUACACCAUGACGAUGCCAUAAAACUUUUACUAAGGUCACAUCUUUAUUCCUCAGCUAUUUAACCUCACGAGCCAAUAUCUUAACUGGUUCCUCUCCAUAGGUCAUGUCCGGUCGAAUAUCAAUUUCAGUCGGCGAAAUCAUGUGAGAGUGGUCUGGUCGGUAUCGCCUUAACAUAGAUACAUGGAACACAUCGUGAAUCUUUUUCAAUUCGGGUGGUAAUGCCAAACGAUAGGCUAACGGUCCAACUCUUUCAAUGAUCUCGUACGGUUCGAUGAAUUGCGGACUUAGUUUGCCUUUCCGGCCAAACCUCAACACUUUUUUCCAUGGAUACACUUUCAAGAAUACUCUAUCUCCAACUUGAAACUCAAUUUCCUUUCUUUUUAGAUCAACAUAUGACUUUUGCCUAUCCAAUUCCGCUUUUAAACAGUCUUGUAUCACUUUAACUUUUUCUUCAGUUUCUUUAAUCAAAUCAACUCCUUAAAUCUGAUUUUCAUUAAGUUCUGUCCAGUACAACAGAGUUCGGCACUUCCUGCCAUACAAGGCCUCAUAAGGUGCCAUCUUUAAACUCGUCUGAAAACUGUUGUUGUAGGUGAAUUCUACUAGCGACAAAUAUUUUUCCCAACUACCCUGAAAUUCAAGAAUGCAACAUUGCAACAUAUCCUCAAGAAUCUGAAUCAUCCGCUUAGACUAACCAUCUGUAUGAGGGUGAAAAGCUUAACUUUAGCUUAACUUCGUACCCAAGGCUUCUUGUAAUUUCUUCCAGAAUCUUGAAGUGAACCUCAGGUCUCUAUCGAAAAUAAUCGAAAGUGGUACCCCAUGCAGUCUUACAAUCUCAGAAAUGUACAAGUUGGCCAAUCUAUCGAGAGAGUAAUCUGUCCUCACCGGAAUAAAAUGCGCCUACUUCGUCAACUUAUCUACUACGACCCAUACGGCAUCUUUCUUCUUCGGAGUCAAUGGCAAUCCUGUCACGAAAUCCAUAGUAACUCUGUCCCACUUCCAUUCGGGGACUAUCACAGGUUGUAGCAAACCUAAAGGCACUUGAUGUUCAGCUUUAACUUGCUGACAUACUAGGCAUUUUGACACAAAUUCAGAAAUAUCUCUUUUUAUGUCGUUCUACCAGUACAUUUUCUUCAAAUCGUUGUACAUCUUGGUACUUCUCGGGUGAAUUGACAAGCAACUGUUAUGUGCUUCGUGCAAAAUUUUCUGAAUAAGUUCAUUGUUUUGGGGCACACAAACCCUAUCUCUAAACAUCAAACAUCCAUCAAAACCAAUCCCAAAAUCUGAUUCAAUACUUGACUCACAUUGAAUUCUUUUAGCUUGCAAGUCAUCAUCAUUAGUUUGAGCAUCAUAGAUUUCCUGAAGGAAUGUCGACCUAACCUCUAGCUCAGCCAAGACUGAACCAUCAUCAAGCAAUGUCAAACGAGCAUCCAUGGCUCUUAAUGCAAACAAGGAUUUUUUGCUUAAUGCGUCAGCGACCACAUUCACCUUUCCCGGGUGAUAGUCAAUAAUCAGUUCGUAAUCCUUGAUUAACUCUAGCCACCUCCGUUGCCUCAAAUUUAAUUCUUUUUGAUACAUCAAAUACUUCAAACUCUUAUGGUCAGUGAAUAUGCAGCAAGUCUCACCAUUUAAAUAAUGCCUCUAAAUUUUCAAAGAAAAAAUGAUGGCGGCAAGUUCUAGGUUGUGUGUAGGAUAGUUCUUCUCAUGCGGUUUCAACUAUCGUGAAGCAUAGGCUAUUACCUUGCCAUCUUGCAUAAGUACACCACCCAGUCCAUUUGAGGAUGCAUCACUGUAGAGUACAAAUUCUUUUCCCGACUCAAGCAAUACUAAAACAGGAGCUUCAGUUAACAGUGUCUUUAACUUCUCAAAACUUUGUUGACACUUUUUCGUCCAUUCAAACUUAACGUUUUUCUGUAACAAUCUCGUCAUCGGAGUUGCUAUCAUGGAGAAUCCUUUCGCAAAUCUUCGAUAGUAACCUUUUAAGCCCAAAAAGCUUCUAACCUCGGUUACAUUUUUAGGUGGUUUCCAUUCGACGAUAGCAGAAAUCUUACUUGGAUCGACUUGAAUGCCUUCACCUGAAACAAUAUGAUCCAAAAAUCUAACUUUCUGAAGCCAAAAUUCACUCUUGCUAAACUUAGCAUACAGCUACUUUUCCUGCAAAGUUUGCAACACAAUACUCAAGUGUUUUGCAUGUUCUAACUCAUCCCUGGAAUAAAUCAAGAUGUCGUCAAUGAACACAAUGACAAACUUAUCCAAAUAUGACCGGAAGAUCCUAUUCAUUAGAUCUAUGAAUACGGCCGGUGCAUUCAUUAACCUAAACGGCAUGAUGAGAAAUUCAUAAUGACCGUACCUCGUUCUGAAAGCUGUCUUAGGUACAUCCAAUUCUUUAACUCGCAGCUGAUAAUAGCCAGACCUCAAGUCUAUCUUAGAGAACACGGUGGCUCCUUUCAACUGAUCGAAUAAAUCGUCGAUCCUUGGUAAAGGAUACUUAUUCUUGAUAGUUACCUUGUUUAGUUGGCGGUAAUCUAUACAUAAACUCAUCGAACCAUCUUUCAUCCUUACAAUAGAAUAGGAGCACCCCAAGGUGAAAAGCUCGGCCUUACAAAACCUUUAUCUAUCAGCUCCUGCAACUGUGCUUUCAACUCUCUCAGUUCAGUUGGUGCCAUCCUAUACGGAGCAAUUGAAAUAUGAGCUGUCCCUGGCACCCGCUCAAUACCAAAUUCUAUUUCUCUUUCAAGAGGUAAUCCGGGUAAUUCGUCUGGAAAUACAUCUGGGUACUCACAUACUAUAGGCACAGACUCAAUCUUCAACUUUGUUUCCUUAGUGUUCAAUACAAUUGCAAGGUAAACUUCAUACCCUUUUCUCAUAUAUUGAUAAACCGUAAUUUAUACAUAUUUUUACCCUAUCCUUAACGUAUUUUAUGGAUGAUUUUCCAUUAGAAUUGGUGAAUUCGAUUCUCCUAAUGCUUUAAUUUCAUGUUUUAUACUUAGGAGAGCAUAGGACAGCGAAAGGAACGAGAAACUGGCCAAUAACAAAGAAAAAUGGGCCAAAGUACGAAUUCAACAUGGCCUGGAUCUCCUCACACGGGCAGACCACAUGGCUGUGUCAAUUUGGCAGAUUCGAAGCACGACUUACAUGGGUGUGUCCCUGCCGAGCCCAAGUUGAGUCCAAUUUAGAGAAGGCCAAUUUUGAGGGCUUUUAGGCAUUCUAAAGCCUAUAAAUACACCGUAGAGGAGGAAAGUAAUGGGGCACAGAGGGAGGAAGGAAGGAAUUACUUGAAGGAAGCCGAUUGAUCCAUCUUAGAAGCCAGAUUCAUCAUCAAGACUGAAUAUCUCCUUCAAUUUCCCUUCAAGAGUUUUGGGUUUUCUUUAUGUUUUUUACUCAUUAUUCUUCUGAGAUGUUCCCCUUUUUAGUUAUGAACUAAAUCUCCUAAAUACCUAAGGGGGACGAAACCUAAGACGAAUCUUGUUAUUAAUUUCUGAAUUGUAUGAUAAAUAUUUAACUUGUUCAUAAUUAUGUGUUCUUAAUUCUUGUUUUGAUAUCUCAGGAUACUGAUUCAAGAUAAGCUCUUAUUCAGAGGAGGAAUAGACCCUGUCUAAGAGUACAUUUGUCAUAAUUAAGUGGAGUUGAUUACGCGCUUAGAGAUAGGGUGAUAAGAUUUUUUUGGAUUAGGGUGAAACCUAAUAGGGGGAUCCAUAGAUCGAGUUAAUGCAACCUAGGGCAUUAAUUAAAGAAAACUUUCAAUUAUUCAAUCUAGGGAUUAGACAUUAUUAGUCUUAAUAGGGAUAAUAACAUAACUUAGGGAUCUCUACGGAACAAGUUAAAUGAAUAAAUCGUCCGAUUCGGAGUUAGAAUAACAAGUGAAGUCUAGGUGGAUUUUUCCUUAGGUAUUUUUUUAAUUCAAUCGUUUUCCAAAAGUAAUCCCCCAAUUCUACUUUCUGUAAAUUCUUAGAUUAGUUAAUUAGUUAGUUAAAACAAAACCCCCUUAUUCUUAGGCUAGAUAAUAAAAAGAUAGUCAUUACUAGUACUUUUAGUUCCUUUGGGUUCGACAAUCCGGUCUUGCUAAAACUACACUACUAUUCGAUAGGUACACUUGCCUACAUCGCGAUAAUAGUUAGUUUCAAGAAUGAUUAAUUAUAAAUAUUUAAAACUUACUUGUCACGAAAAUUGCGAUCAUAUAUCUCUGAGCAACCAUUGCCGUGAUCACUACCGGAGGCAUACCCAACUCUCUUGAAUCAACAAGUAGAAUCUCACCAUCCGGGCCUUUCAAUUUAAUAUACUUACUACCACAAAUUUACAGUUACAUUAUGCAGUGCUAACCAAUCCAUGCCAAGUAUUACAUCAAAUUCAUCAAAUGGUAACAACAUAAGAUUAGCCGAAAAACAAUGACCCGGAAUCGUCAAAGGACAAUUCAUACAGAUUUUAUCAACCAUGACUGAUCUACCUAGAGGGUUCGACACUUUAAUAAUAAAUUUCGUAGGCUCAAUAAGUAUGUUCAUUCUAGAUACCAAGCUUAUGCAAAUGUAUGAAUGCGUCGAUCUCGGGUCAAUUAAGGCAAUAACACCUGUAUCAAAUAGAGAAAAAGUACCUGUGAUAACAUCAGGAGUAGAGGCUUCCUCUCGAGCGCGUAUCGCAUACGUUCUUGCUGAGGCUCGAGCCUCUAGUUUUGCAGCAUCUUUAGCUACAACUCGACUGCCACCGGCACUUCCAGGAUAUCUCGGAGGUCUACCUCGUGAAAUGGGAGUACUUGACUUUGGGGCUACUUCCCCUUUUUCCUCGACUCGCUUUGGGCAAUCCCUGAGAAAGUGGUCAAGAGAUCCACAUCUAAAACAUGCACCGCUCUUCACUCGGCAUUCUCCAUAGUGAAAUUUGUUGCAACUCUUACACUUCGGCUUUUGAUCAUCUAAACAUCCAACACUAGUUACCAUCGGGAAGGAAGACUUUUGGCUUCGUCGUUUAAAACCUCUCGCUUUACCCGAAUAUCCUACUAAUGAAAUGGAACAUUCAUGCUGGCUCCUUGAUUUCUUUGUGGGAAACGAAAAUGUUUUACCACUAGACCUCUUGCUCGCGACUCGGGCCUCUCUCUUUGCUUGUUUUCUUUCGUUGGUAAGCUCCUCGGCCUUCUUGGCCUGAUCAGCCAAUGCGGCAAAUUCCCAUAUUUCCAGGAUCCCAAUCAACAACUUAAUUUCCUCAUUCAGACCUUCCUCAAAGUGUUUACACAUUUCUGACUCGAUUUGGACCCAUUCAGUUGCAUACUGACUUAACUCUCGUUCGUAUUCCGCUACAAUCUUAUUCCCUUAUUUGAGUUCCAAGAAUUCCUUUCGCUUCGAGUCUAGAAACCGUUGGCUAAUGUAUUUCUUCCUAAACUCUGUUCGAAAGAAAUCCCAAGUGAUAUUUUCCUUUGGCACUACCGAGGAUACAGUCUUCCACCAAUGAUACAUAGUAACUUUUAGAAGAUACACGGCACAUUUCAAACAUUCCUCAGGUGUGCAUGACAAAUCAUCUAACUCUCAUGUGAUGUUCUCGAGCCAAAACUUAUCUACUACGACCCAUACGACAUCUUUCUUCUUCGGAGUCAAUGGCAAUCCUGUCACGAAAUCCAUAGUAACUCUGUCCCACUUCCAUUCGGGGACUAUCACAGGUUGUAGUAAACCUAAAGGCACUUGAUGUUCAGCUUUAACUUGCUGACAUACUAGGCAUUUUGACACAAAUUCAGAAAUAUCUCUUUUUAUGUCGUUCCACAAGUACAUUUUCUUCAAAUCGUUGUACAGCUUGGUACUUCUCGGGUGAAUUGACAAACGACUGUUAUAUGCUUCUUGCAAAAUUUUCUGAAUAAGUUCAUUGUUUUGGGGCACACAAACCCUAUCUCUAAACAUCAAACAUCCAUCAAAACCAAUCCCAAAAUCUGAUUCAAUACUUGACUCACAUUGAGUUCUUUUAGCUUGCAAGUCAUCAUCAUUAGUUUGAGCAUCAUAGAUUUCCUGAAGGAAUGUCGACCUAACCUCUAGCUCAGCCAAGACUGAACCAUCAUCAAGCAAUGUCAAACGAGCAUCCAUGGCUCUUAAUGAAAACAAGGAUUUUCUACUUAAUGCGUCAGCGACCACAUUCACCUUUCCCGAGUGAUAGUCAAUAAUCAAUUCGUAAUCCUUGAUUAACUCUAGCCACCUCCGUUGCCUCAAAUUUAAUUCUUUUUGAUUCAUCAAAUACUUCAAACUCUUAUGGUCAGUGAAUAUGCAGCAAGUCUCACCAUUUAAAUAAUGCCUCUAAAUUUUCAAAGAAAAAAUGAUGGCGGCAAGUUCUAGGUUGUGUGUAGGAUAGUUCUUCUCAUGCGGUUUCAACUGUCGUGAAGCAUAGGCUAUUACCUUGCCAUCUUGCAUAAGUACACCACCCAGUCCAUUUGAGGAUGCAUCACUAUAGAGUACAAAUUCUUUUCCCGACUCAAGCAAUACUAAAACAAGAGCUUCAGUUAACAGUGUCUUUAACUUCUCAAAACUUUGUUGACACUUUUUCGUCCAUUCAAACUUAACGUUUUUCUGUAACAAUCUCGUCAUCGGAGUUGCUAUCAUGGAGAAUCCUUUCACAAAUCUUCGAUAGUAACCUCUUAAGCCCAAAAAGCUUCUAACCUCGAUUACAUUUUUAGGUGGUUUCCAUUCGACAAUAGCAGAAAUCUUACUUGGAUCGACUUGAAUGCCUUCACCUGAAAUAAUAUGAUCCAAAAAUCUAACUUUCUGAAGCCAAAACUCACUCUUGCUAAACUUAGCAUACAGCUACUUUUCCCGCAAAGUUUGCAACACAAUACUCAAGUGCUUUGCAUGUUCUAACUCAUCCCUGGAAUAAAUCAAGACGUCGUCAAUGAACAUAAUGACAAACUUAUCCAAAUAUGACCGGAAGAUCCUAUUCAUUAGAUCCAUGAAUACGGCCGGUGCAUUCAUUAACCUAAACGGCAUGAUGAGAAAUUCAUAAUGACCGUACCUCGUUCUAAAAGAUGUCUUAGGUACAUCCAAUUCUUUAACUCGCAGCUGAUAAUAGCCAGACCUCAAGUCUAUCUUAGAGAACACGGUGGCUCCUCUCAACUGAUCGAAUAAAUCGUCGAUCCUUGGUAAAGGAUACUUAUUCUUGAUAGUUACCUUGUUCAGUUGGCGGUAAUCUAUUCAUAAACUCAUCGAACCAUCUUUCUUCCUUACAAAUAGAAUAGGAGCACCCCAAGGUGAAAAGCUCGGCCUUACAAAACCUUUAUCCAUCAGCUCCUGCAACUGUGCUUUCAACUCUCUCAGUUCAGUUGGUGCCAUCCUAUACGGAGCAAUUGAAAUAGGAGCUGUCCCUGGCACCAGCUCAAUACCAAAUUUUGUUUCCCUUUCAGGAGGUAAUCCAGGUAAUUCAUCUGGAAAUACAUCUGGGUACUCACAUACUAUAGGCACAAACUCAAUCUUCAACUUUGUUUCCUUAGUGUUCAAGACAAUUGCAAGGUAAACUCCACACCCUUUUCUCAUAUAUUGAUAAACCGUAAUUUAUACAUAUUUUUACCCCAUGCUUAAUGCAUUUUAUGGAUGAUUUUCCAUUAGAAUUGGUGAAUUCGAUGCUCCUAAUGCUUUAAUUUCAUGUUUUAUACUUAGAAGAGCAUAGGACAGUGAAAGGAACGAGAAAAUUGCCAAAAACAGAGAACAAUGGGCCAAAGUACGAAUUCAACACGGCCUGGACCUCCUCACACGGGCAGACCACACGGCUGUGUCAAUUUGGCAGAUUCGAAGCACGACUUACAUGGGCGUGUCCCUGCCGAGCCCAAGUUGAGUCCAAUUUAGAGAAGGCCAAUUUUGAGGGCUUCUAGGCAUUCUAAAGCCUAUAAAUACACCGUAGAGGUGGAAAGUAAUGGGGCACAGAGGGAGGAAGGAAGGAAUUACUUGAAGGAAGCCGAUUGAUCCAUCUUAGAAGCCAGAUUCAUCAUCAAGACUGAAUAUCUCCUUCAAUUUCCCUUCAAGAGUUUUGGGUUUUCUUUAUGUUUUUUACUCAUUAUUCUUCUGAGAUGUUCCCCUUUUUAGUUAUGAACUAAAUCUCCUAAAUACCUAAGGGGGAUGAAACCUAAGACGAAUCUUGUUAUUAAUUUUUGAAUUGUAUGAUAAAUAUUUAACUUGUUCAUAAUUAUGUGUUCUUAAUUCUUGUUUUGAUAUCUCAGGAUACUGAUUCAAGAUAAGCUCUUAUUAAGAGGAGGAAUAGACCCUGUCUAAGAGUACAUUUAUCAUAAUUAAGUGGAGUUGAUUGCGUGCUUAGAGAUAGGGUGACAAGAUUUUUUUGGAUUAGGGUGAAACCUAAUAGGGGGAUCCAUAGAUCGAGUUAAUGCAACCUAGGGCAUUAAUUAGAGAAAACUCUCAAUUAUUCAAUCUAGGGAUUAGACAUUAUUAGUCUUGAAUAGGGAUAAUAACAUCACUUAGGGAUCUCUACGGAACAAGUUAAAUGAAUAAAUCGUCCGAUUCGGAGUUAGAAUAAUAAGUGAAGUCUAGGUGGAUUUUUCCUUAGGUAUUGUCUUAAUUCAAUCGUUUUCCAAAAGUAAUCCCCCAAUUCUACUUUCUGUGAAUUCUUAGAUUAGUUAAUUAGUUAGUUAAAACAAAACCCCCUUAUUCUUAGGCUAGAUAAUAAAAAGACAGUCAUUACUAGUACUUUUAGUUCCUUUGGGUUCGACAAUCCGGUCUUGCUAAAACUACACUACUAUUCGAUAGGUACACUUGCCUACAUCGCGAUAAUAGUUAGUUUCAAGAAUGAUUAAUUAUAAAUAUUUAAAACUUACUUGUCACGAAAAUUGCAAUCAUAUAUCUCUGAGCAACCAUUGCCGUGAUCACUACCGGAGGCAUACCCAACUCUCUUGAAUCAACAAGUAGAAUCUCACCAUUCGGGCCUUUCAAUUUAAUAUACUUACUACCACAAAUUUACAGUUACAUUAUGCAGUGCUAACCAAUCCAUGCCAAGUAUUACAUCAAAUUCAUCAAAUGGUAACAACAUAAGAUUAGCCGAAAAACAAUGACCCGGAAUCGUCAAAGGACAAUUCAUACAGAUUUUAUCAACCAUGACUGAUCUACCUAGAGGGUUCGACACUUUAAUAAUAAAUUUCAUAGGCUCAAUAAGUAUGUUCAUUCUAGAUACCAAGCUUAUGCAAAUGUAUGAAUACGUUAAUCUCGGGUCAAUUAAGGCAAUAACACAUGUAUCAAAUAGAGAAAAAGUACCUGUGAUAACAUCAGAAGUAGAGGCUUCCUCUCGGGCGCGUAUCGCAUACGUUCUUGCCGAGGCUCGAGCCUCUAGUUUUGCAGCAUCUUUAGCUACAACUCGACUGCCACUGGCACUUCCAGGAUAUCUCGGUGGUCUACCUCGUGAAAUGGGAGUACUUGACUUUGGGGCUACUUCCCCUUUUUCCUUGACUCGCUCUGGGCAGUCCCUAAGAAAGUGGUCAAGAGAUCCACAUCUAAAACAUGCACCGUUCUUCACUCGGCAUUCUCCAUAGUGAAAUUUGUUGCAACUCUUACAGUUCGGCUUUUGAUCAUCUACACUUCCCAGACUAGUUACCAUCGGGGAGGAAGACUUUUGGCUUCGUCGUUUAAAGCCUCUCGCUUUACCCGAAUAUCCUACUAAUGAAAUGGAACGUUCAUGCUGGCUCAUUGAUUUCUUUGUGGGAAACGAAAAUGUUUUACCACUAGACCUCUUGCUCGCGACUCGGGCCUCUCUCUUUGCUUGUUUUCUUUCGUUGUUAAGCUCCUCGGCCUUCUUGGCCUGAUCAGCCAAUGCGGCAAAUUCCCAUAUUUCAAACACUCCUCAGGUGUGCAUGACAAAUCAUCUAACUCCCAUUUGAUGUUCUCGAGCCAAAACUCAGCUCUUUCAGUAUCAUCAUCAACUUUAGCUCUAAAUUCCUCAGCCCCAUACUUUCUAAGCUUAUCAACAGGGGCUUUACCAAUUCUUACCGGUGCCAUACCUCGUGGCACAUCCUCAUCAGCUUGGUUAGGGGCCGGGGGAGGUCCUGGUAUGUUGGGGCGAUUCCUCAGGUAAUCCCCAAACCAAUCAUCCAUCAUUUCAAAGAAGACAGCUCGGGUCUCUUCUCGGCCUUCAGACAUAAGCCUUCUACUACUACUAGAUACAGCUCGUUGUACGGAAGUUGGAGCAUGGCUCUCGGCUCCCUCAAACUCAUCUUGUGCUUGAUUGGAAGACAUUUACUAUAUUCAAAACAAUUUAAACAGUUAGGAGACGUCACACUAUCAAUAUUCGAAUAAUGGAAUGUAUAGCAAACCUCAAUACUCUUUACAAUAGUCUUAGAACCGACUAAAUUGUAGCUCUGAUACCACUAAGUGUAACACCCCUCACCCGUAUCUGAAGUCGGGAUAGGGUUUGAGGCGUUACCGGGAUUUCAUAUUCUUAAACAUAUUAAUCCAGUUACUAAGUUGCGCUCUAAUUUAAAACUUUUCAAAUAUGUAUAUUUUUUCCCUUAAACAGGCCUUCGAGACCUAAAACUUUCCUUGAGGCGGUGCGGAACAAAACUGAGAACGUUUGAUACACUUAGGGCACCUUGGAAAAUUUCUUUCAACUUAGAGUGUCACGCCCCCAUGUGACUUGGGACACACCCGUCUAAUCACCCCAUGUCCAAGACUUGAGCAUUCUGUUAAAUUCACACGGCCAAGAUACAUGCCCAUGUGUCUAGCCCGUGUUCAUUUAACAGACUUACCAUUUUAGAUGUAGGGGACACACGACCAUGCCACACACCCACGGGUGUGGCCCGUGUGUCACACAGGCCUAAGCACACGCCCAUGUACCCAACCGUGUAGACCCUAUUAGGCUAUUUUCCAAGCCUAUGGUCACCCCCUUUUAACACUUAUACUUAAUGAAUAUUAAAAACAAAGUAAAACAUAAUUAUGCUCUCAUAAAUGAUCUUUGCAAAAACUCAUUGCAUGGAAAGCUCAUAUCAUUGGUUUCGUGCAUGCUAGGUUAUUUCCCAUCUCGUAUUUAUGUGUUGUCAUACCACUUUAAUACAUUCAAGAUUGGCUCGUUCUUAUGACUCAUUGCCAAUUGGAAUUUAACCAUCGCACAUGACUAUAAACUUGUACAGAAAUUUCGAAGAUCAUAGCCUACUUCAAGGCAAGCCGAUCUGUAUGGCCAUAAACAAAAAGAUAGAUUUAUCUUUGUAAGCCUUCAUUUGGCAAAUCAAAUGACACAUAUAACAAAAUACUCAAAAGACCUAUACAUGCCAUUGAACCAUUUAGAAAUGUCUUUCUACCAAAGCUAGUCUAUUUGAUAGUAUACUGACUCUCCAACCGUCUUCAAAUAUUUACGAGUUUUCGAGCUUUAUGAGAGACAAGAAAAAGAGAGGGGUAAGCAUUUUUAUGCUUAGCAAGCUCAAAUAACCGGAAAGUUAACUUACUUAGUAAUUAGCAUGCAAUCAAAUUGGGUAAUAAAUUCAAUGAGCAUAGGAUGGCUUCCCUCUCACUUACACUCACUCACUGAGUUAGUCACAUAACAAUGCACUAUGAAAGUUAUCUUAGAUGAGCUCAUCAUUCAACAUCUCAUUUGUAUAUAUAUGUCACAUUAAUCUCGUUGAGUUUCUAGGAAAUCUCGAUAGGAUAUCCAUUUACCGUUAAUUCGUACAAUGAUCGUUUCAAAUAUACACUCCUGUGAACCUCACAUCUUAUGGCAGGAUUACUAGUCCAAGCUAAAUCCCUUACAACGACAAACACCCUUAUUGAGCUCGGAUCUGAAUUACCAAUCCAGGCUAAAUUCAGAUCCCAAUUGGAUUACCCGUCCUGGCUAAAUCCAUAAUACACACAUAUUCUUCGGGAGGCUCGACCAUUCAACGGAACACCCGUCGGGGGUAGACCCUUUUAUAAAUGAGAUCAACAGAUUACCCGUCUAGGCUAAAUCCUUACUACAGCACAUACAGGACCUCAUUACAUAUGUCAAUCAAGGUUUAUCCAUCGAAUUCCCUUUUUAACCUCAAACGAGACAUUUAUCACAAUUCAUACUUAAACAUGCAUUCAUAAAUCAUAUAAUUAGGCACCUUGAGUGUUUACUUUAAGUUAUCCGAACUUACCUGGUAUUCAUUUCGGUGUCAUGUUUUGCUUAUUCCGUAACCUUUCAUUUUCCUCGAUCAAUCUCUGAAAUUUAUUCCUCGGGGUCUACAAUAACAAAAAUAGAUCAUUCACACUCCACAUUAUACAUUUCAAGUCUAAAUUCCAUCCUCGGUCCAAAUGAUCGUUUGCCCCUAAGUUUUCACAUUUUUACGAUUUAGUCCUAGGCUCGUAUAAUGAAACGCAUGCAAUUUCUACCGUACUCAAGCCUAGCCGAACACUUUUCCCUUUUAUGGUAGCCCACAUUUUCCAUUAUUUUCACAUUUCUACCACACAUUUUACAACUUUUGCAAAAAGGUCCCUUUAGAGGUUUUUCAUGAAAAUCACCUAGGAAAAGUUGUUUAACACACAUUCAUUUUUCAUUUUCCUCCAUAAUACAUCAAAAUACAAGUAAUUCAUGCGUGGGGAAAUUUUUAAACAUGAACCCUAGCAUGAAAUAUGGGUAGAAAUGGAGAGAGUAAGCUAUCGGGAUCUCAAAAUUUCAAAGAACAUUAAAAAAGGGGCUUGGGAGCACUUACUAAAGAGCUUGAAAAGCUUGGACCCUUAGCUGUGGUGGCGUAGGAAAUUUGGCUGGACAAUGGAGAAGAAUGGCUGAUUUUUCCUUCUUUUUCUCAUUUUAUUUCAUUAAUAUGCCAAAUAACCAAAAUGCCCUUUCUUUGAAAUUUUAUCCAUGCAAGCCCAUUUUUGUCCAAAAACUUAGAAAUUGGGCAAAUUGCUCCCCAAGACCCUCUAUUUUAUAAUCUAAGGCAAUUUCAUGCAAAUUCAUUCUAGAAUCCAAUUUUUUCAAUUUAUUCAAUUAAUCCCUAAUUUUCCAAUUGGGCACUUACUCAAAGAAGUUCUUCAUGAAACUUUAACACAUGCAUAUUCUUAUAUUCUAAACCUUGUGAUAAUCAUAAAAUAAAUAUUUUAAUGUCAGAUUUGUGGUCCCGAAACCGCUAUUCUUACUAGGCCCUAUUUUGGGAUGUUACAGUAAUGAAUCCAUAAUUACCAUUUCAUCAGAAGUCAAACCCGUACCGCACACAUUAAAAACCUAUUAGCAUGCCAAUUGUAUCCUGUCCUAUGUUCAUUUAGGUAAAAAAAAGUCAUCAUUUAACAAUGUUUAAACAAUUACUUACUCAAUUCAUGUGAGUUUAUAAUAAACCAAUUAUACCAAUAUAUUUAACAACUAAUUUCACAAUCAAUAUAACAUAUCAAAUUAUACUAAACUGAACCGAACAAGCUUACCAAUGCUAAAUUGCAGUGACAACAAAAGUUCAGAGACUAAUCAAUAUUUUUUCCUUUUUCUCAGUUAUCUAGUUGUUCUUGAUCAUGCAACUAAUUUAACUUGGUUGAUUCCUUAAUCUCCCUCAACCAUGGAGUUUUUAGUUUUGGAAAAAGAAAACAAAGAAGAUGAUAGGUUCUACCGUUUGUUAUUUGUUUAUUUAUUAUUUAAUUACCUUAUUAACCUUAAAAGUUUUUUCAUAAAAUACCAACCUAAAUCGUCCACUACAAAAAGAUAAGGUUUAAUUACCUUAUAAGACCCUCGCUUCAUGUUUUAAUAUCCAUUUAACACGUAUAACCUAUUAAUGGUUUACUUUUGCAGCUUUUACAAUUUAGUCCUUUUUAAUUAAUUAAGUAUUUUAAACAUCGAAGUUUCUAAACCAAAUUUUAAAACGAUACUAGUGACCUCGUAAAUUGUAACACCCCAAACUCGGCCUAAAUGUUAUGGCCGAAUCAGAGAGUGUUACGAAGAAGGGUUUGGAACAAAUGUUAAUUACUUCUUAAAAAGAGUCCGAGUUCUAAAACAUAUUCAUUACCAAAAUCCUUGUUAGUUUUCUCUUUCACCAAAACAUAAUCUGCAGCGAAAAUCUUAAAAGCCGUUAUAGUUGAAAACUGAAUUUUUGCGUUUUUUAAAAAUCAUUUGUUUGUGUAAAACCAUGAUUUUGUCAAACGUUGCAAUAUAAAAGCCCAAACACAAUCAAAACCAAAAUUAAAACAAAAUAGUCCAAAGUGUCCCAAAAUUACAAAACUGUAAAAAUAGUCCAAAUUUUAAAUAAAAACCGUAAUUGAAAAUAGUUAGCAAACUAGUGGCCACUGUUGAGACUCCGUCGUACCGGCCCGCCUAUGCUUGAGGAUUACCUAAACAGAUUGGACAAAUAGAUAUGAGUUUUCAUAACUCAGUGUGUAACUCACAGAAAUAUACAUGCAUAAAAUUCAGAUUUCCAGUAUUUCAGAAAAAAAGCGAACAUAAGUCCCUAACAGAGUCAAAUCAUAUCAGAAUCAAAUUUUCAGAAAUAUAUAGAUAUAUAGAGUCCUACCCCGUCCUCUAUACACCAUUUCCGUCUAUUCCAACACACCAUGUGGGGUAUAAAGUACCCACCCAUCCUUAUACACCAUAUAGUGUCAACACGACACUUAUCAGAAUAGUAUGCAGACAAGCUGCCAGUAUAUCAGCAACAUGUUGCCUCACAGAACACUUCUUCCACAUAUACAAAGCCCACCUCAUACACAGAUACAUAUAAAAAAUAUAGAUAACAGAUGCAGAUAUUUAGAAUUAACGUGUCUCGCAUGCUCAUAUACAUAUAUCAUACAUGCUUUUACAAAAUAGAUAAAUCAUACAUAUCAAUUUUUGAAUCUCAAAUUAGUCUAUCAGAUUAAAAAGAUAUCAUGUUUUAGGGUUUAUUUACCUUUACUUGCCAUACGAAAGGCCCACAAUCGAUCAAAACGACUUAUACGACCUAGGGAAACUUUUAAAUUAUAGGCCAACACGCCUGUGAUAGCCCACACACCCAACUCAGCCUAUCUCAUGUGGUCGUAUUACCCGUCACAUGACACACGACCGGGCACACGCUCGUGUGGUAUCAACAGGUCACUUUUUAGCUUUCGUCAAAUCGUGAUUUCUUAUGUUUUCGCUAAACAUCUAGCUCGUUUUUUAUGCGAAAGCAAUCCCAAAACCACCAGAACCUAAAAAUGGCAUACCAAACACCUUUUUAGCAAUUUAAUUUACGAAACGACAAUAAUAACCCAAACAAUGCACAUGAACUUAUCGGCAUACCAAACACCCUUUUAGCAAUUUAAUUUACAAAACGACAACAAUAACCCAAACAAUGCACACGAACUUACCGACGAUGAAAAUGACCUCUAACACGAAUCAGGUCGUUGGAGUGCAAUUCACUGCUUCACAGUCUUCUCCUACGCAACACACAUUCACAGAGAUUAAAUCCUCUUACUUCACAUCAUUAAUGAAAUUCAAACAGAAAUAAACAAUUCUAAACAGCUUACAAAAACCUAAACCCACAAACAAGUGGAAACCCUACUUAUCAAAAUCGCAUCAUGAACACCAAAAUUUCUGAAAUCCAAUGAUACAAACAAUAGGUUAUGGACAGGAUUGCAAGAAAAUAAAAAAGAAGAAGAAGAGUUGCAGAGAAGGGAAGAAACUAACGUUAGAAGCAAAGUUUAAGAAGAGAGAGAAAAUAGAAAAUAAAAUAAAAUUUAAGUUCAAAUAAAAUCCCCCAAAAUAAGGAAUGAUCUCAUACUCCAACCAAUCUUAACUACCCACUCACUCAUCAACUAACAUAGACUUUUAACUCUACCGAACCUCUAUCAGACGAUCGCAACAAAAAUAUCAUCCACGCUCACGAGGGGAUUCGAACACGGAACGUUAGGGUAAGCUAACACCUUACCAUUUGAACCAGUAGGCUCAUUCUGAUAUGAGUUUACCAGAAAUAUGAUAUAAGCCCACCAACAGAGAUUAAGCUAGGAUAAAAAAUAAUAAAAUUUACCAAAAGUGGGACUUGAACCCAAGACUUCAAACACAUAUCCAGAACACUUAGCCACUAAAGCAAAUACUCAUUUGUGGAAAAAUUCACAGAAACAAGGUUAAGAUAUUUAGGGCGUUACAUAAAUAUUAAAUAAUUAAUAUUUACGAAUUGACACGUCGAAUUUGUGGUUUCAAAACCACUGUUCCUAAUACCACUGGAAAAUACAUUAUUACAUCAGUAGACCCAUAUCUGAAGAAAGCUUCAAUCCUUCUCCAACACUCACCCGAAUGGUGUCUAUUACAAUACUCAUAAAAUAGAACUCACUCAACCCUGGCAGCUGGCUCAACAUGCUAAGGUCUCGCAACCCUAACCUGUUUCAUAAGCCGCUGAAAAGAACUAGAAGGACUCGAAUCUCUCUUAUUCUUAUUUUGGUUCUUUUCCUUAUCUCUUUUCUCUUGCUCCACGCACUUAAUCUCCUCGGUAAUUUUUGCCUUCUCCACCAAAUUUUCAAAGACUCACCUCCGCUGAAGAGUUACUAAUACUUUAAUAUCGUACUUUAGUCCUUCCCCAAACCAGAUACUCUUAUCAUACUCAGUCCCAACUAAACCUCAAGUAUAUCUGCUCAACCCUAGAAAUUCAGCCUCAUACUCAACCACAUAUCUCUCACCCUGAGUUUGUCCCAUAAACUCACGUCUAACGGCCUCAAUAUAACUCGCCCCCACAUAUUUAUUCUGGAAAGCGCUCCAAAAAUAGGCCCAAGUCACUCACUUAGUUGGGUACCCUCCACAACAUUCAGCAACCAUUAAUAUGUUUCGUUGUGAAGCAAAGAUACCACACCCUUCAGUUUCUGCUUGGGGUUGCAGUCUAAAUCAUUCAUUAUUCUUUCUAUAGCCUCUAACCAGUACUCAGCCAUAAUCGGGGCGAUCCUAACUACACUUCUAAACAGUUCUACUCCACUAGACCAAAGUUGUUCAAUUACCGACCGUUAGCUCCCAAAUCCAGUGUGGGUCCUAAUGACCCUCUUUAACACCUUCAACAUAGCUUCGGAUAAUGUUUCGUCCCCAACAAUUUGAGCCCUAGACCUAGUCUCAACGGUAGGAGUUCCAAUAGUCUCACUUAUUUCUAAAUUGGGCAUACUACUCAUCGAAGAUGGCUCAGCUCGAGCCCCUCGACAGUAACCUUCGCAACCAUGGGUACCACUAUCUUAUCUAUAAUUUUAGAGUUUUAUGAAUUAAUUUAGGUUUAGAAACCUUAAAUCUAAAGUUUUAUCAAAAGUGCUUAGCAGGGUUUAGAGAAUGUUUUAAUUUUCUAGGGUCUAGAGGCAAAUAAUUAUACUAAAGUAGCAAAUAUAAUAGUAUCUAAAGUAUAACUAAAAUUUCAAAGUUUCUUACUAGGAUUGGUGCUGGAGCCUCGGUUUUAUUUUUCAAAAAUCAAAAGGUCAAAUUGAAAUAAAAAUUCCAAAUACUGCAAAUAUAUAUUUUAAACAUAUUUAACCCAAAAUACACAAUCCAAGUUUUGCAACCUGACUCUGAUACCAACAAAUGUAACACCCCAAACCCGGCCUAAACGUUACAGUUAGAUUAUGAAGGUUAUAUUGUCAUGUAAAAUAUUGUUCGUUUAUUUUCGUGAAAACUCGGAUUCAAUUGAGGGUAAAUAAAAUUAAUUUAUUUUACAAAAAUAUAAGUCUCUAGAAAUCCGUUAGAGAGAGCGCUUCGAAGAAAACUUGUCUUAUUAAUUAUUUUUUAAACAACUCUUUUAGCUCUAACUACUCGAUAUUGCAAAACAGCAUUUUAUUAAUUAUGAAACCUUUUGCAACAGAAAAAUAACUUGGGAUUCUUAAUUUUUAAAAUCAUAAUUUUUAUUGGUUACACUAUCUUGUUAGAAAUAUCAAUUAAAGCAUUAUGUUUACAAAGUAAAAAAAAUAAAAAAAAUAUCAAAACAAAUAUCCUAAAAGAAUUUAAAAAGUUUCAAAGUCCAUAAAGUCCAUAUUUAACCCAAAAUAUUCUUAAAAUUGAAAAUGUUUAAAUCAAGCUUCGAAAUCACCACCAAAUACUAAGUUUGAGGAUAACCUGAAACGAAUCAAACAGACGAGAAGUUGGAAGCCCAGUGUUUGUGUAACAGCCCGAUUUUAGCUAAAUCAGAACAGUGGUUUUGGAACCAUAAAUUCGAUGUCAAAAAAUUAUUUUUAAUAUUAUUUUCGAUAUUUACAGCAUGUUAUUUGAUAUGUGUGAAAAUUUCGUGAGCUAAUUUUAUCGAUUGGUUGGUUAAUUUGUGAAAAAAGGACUAAAUCUUGAAAAAAGAAAAAGUUGCAUUCUACUUGUUAAAGGUGUUUAAUUGCUAUGAUUUAUUAAAUUAAAAGUCCUUAUGAUGAUAUUAGACCAUUUCUAGUGUUAAUGGACAAUAAUGACCAUCCAUUAUAUGUUUUUAUAUGUUUAUAACAAAGGUUAUUAUAGUAAAUUGAUAAAUUAAGUUAAUUAAAUUAUAUCAAAGAUGAAAUUGUGCUCAUCUUCUUCCUUGGCAACCAAAAAUAGAAAAAAAGAUAGGGUUUGAAUCUUUUUAAGUUUCGGCACACUCCUAGCUUGAUUAAGAUCAAGAAAGAAAAAAUUCAGACUUAGAUUGGGAGAAAACAAGGUUAUCGAGUAGUCAACCCGAUCCGUCAAUUUCAAAUACGAGGUAAGUUCGUAUGUUAUAAUUUCGUUACAAAUGUAUUUAUAUGCUUUGAUAUAUCAUGAAUUGUGAUUAUGUGAUUACAGACAAGUUUGGAAAUGAUUUGAUGAUGAUUCGACAGUUGGAAUCCCAGUUGAACCUUAGGAAUAGUUUAGGAUGCUAGUGACAUGUCAUUAGGUAUACUUUAAGUUGGCUUUGGGGCAUGUUAUUAGCAUUUCGGAUACGAAAAAUACCAAUUUGGCUUCGAGCCAUGAUAUCAAAAUUUCAGAUAAGUUACUUUGAUUCGGCAUGCCAUGGUAUAGGUACUUAUCGUGAGAGACCUUGAGUAUCCGACUUCUAUUCCGAAUGGUGUAAUGAGUAAAUGAAAGAUGUAGUUGAGUAUGAGAUUGGUACGAGAUGGUACGAGUACUUACGGUAAUGAAUUGAGUGUUGAAACUAUGGAAUUGAUGAGUUCCUUGGUAAGUUAUAUGAAUGACAAUUUGAUAUCUUUAAGAUUUAAUAAAAUUGUUGUAUAUCGUUUUUCUAUUAUUUGAAUGAUGAAUGAAUGGUGAUAGUUGCUUAAUGUUCACAUACGAGCUUCCUAAACUAUGAAGCUUACUUCGUGUUAUUUUUCUAUGUUUUUAUAGUGAAUCAAGACAAGUUCGGAUCCGGGAGUCGUCGGGAACAUCAUCACACUAUCAAACAUCUAAUUUGGUACUUUUGAGUUAUACAUUUAUGGUAUAUGGCAUGUAUAGGCUAGAUGUGGUAUUUUGGUUGUGAUUAUAGCCAUGAGAUUUGGCUUGUAAAUUGUAUAUGUUUUGGUUUGUAUACAUAGCCAUGAGUGAUGGCUUAUUUUGGUAUGUUUGGUAUGAAUGUGGUUAUGGUUUUAUAGUUGCUCAAAUGGUUAAUUGAUUUGUGAAGUAUAAGUGCUUGAGAAAUGCCUUGAUGAUAUAUGAUUUUAUAUGUUGUGUUGGUUAUUUAUAAGAAAGUUAUGUGUGUGUGAAUUGUGGUAAAUGAACUACAUAGAUUGAUAUUGUUUUGGCAUGUAUUUGGCUAAGUAAAUAGUAGUGACUUGAGAUUUGGAAUAGAUGAAAUUAUAAUGGUAUGAAUUGUGCAUUUGGUUGAUGAUUUUGGCUACCUAAUUGUAUGAUGAAAUUGUAUCAAUUUGGUUUUUUAGGUGAGCAUGAAUAAGGGUGGAAAAUUGGCCUUAAAAAUGGCUUAUUUUUGUCCAUAUGGACAGAGACACGGGCGUGUGUCUCGACCGUGUGCAACACAUGGUCAUGUUACACGGUCGUGUGUCUCCUGGUGUUGAUAUUAAAAUGAAAUCAAUAUGCUCCACACAGUCUCACACACGGGCGUGUGACCGGCCGUGUGGUACAAGUCAGUAUAUUCCCUAAUUCGCACACGGCCUAGCACACAGGUGUGUGAUUGGCCAUGUUGCAUAAGUUAGUAUACCCUACUAUUUUGGCACGGGCUAGCAAACGGCCUGGUACACGGGUUAAAUGCAUGGUCGUGUGGUUAACCGUAUGACCCAAGUCAAUAUGUAUGCCCUUCUUCUACACGGCCUGAGACACGGGCGUGUCUGAAGCCGUAUGAGGCACACGGCCUGUUCACACGAGCGUGUGACCCCUGUAUAGUUGAAAUUUUUCUAAGUUUCCAAAAUUUUUAUAUGUUAUCGGUUUAGUCCCAAACCACUUCUAAAGAAUGUUUAAGGCCUCGUAAGCCCUUAUAAGAGACAAUGUGAUUAUGUUAAAUGAUUUAUGAGAAUGAAUGCUUUAUGUUUGAUAAAUGUAUGCUAUAUGUUGUGAAUUGAUCGAAAAUACCUCAUAAUCCUACUCCGGCGACAGAUACGGGUUAGGGUGUUACAUUUUAUUGAUAUUAGAGCUACGGUUUAGUCAAAUCUAGGACUAAAAUAACUUGUGUGAGAGUCUAGCUAUACAUGCCAUAUAUAAACUGUAAUAGUGUGAUGACUCCUGACAUUUUAAAAUGUGUUUUCCAAUAGUAAUAGAUCCCAAUCGAGCUAUAGCCGAUGAGGUUUAGAGUAAUGUGCCUGCUCCCGUGCAAGGGACAACGCCAUCUGAUUCUAGACCUGUGUCGGAUAGCCAGGGAAGAGAGGCUAGAGAAGCCUUCUUCCAAAUGAUGAACGAAUGGUUCACUCAAUACAUUCGUAAGAAAUCGGCUGCUCAGCAACCUCCACCCCCACCUAUUCCUCAAUAAAUCCCUAUUAUUCCUCAAGUUAUAGAUCUGAUACGGUUGAAUAAGCCUCCAGUUGACAAGAUCCGCAAACAUAGGGCUGAAGAGUUCAGAGCUAAUGCUGAUUAUGAUGCUGAGAGAACUGAGUUCUGGCUCAAAAAUAUGAUUCCAGUAUUUGAUCAAUUGUCUUGUACUCCUGAUGAAUAUAUUAAAUGUGUUGUAUAUUUGCUGAGAGACAUCGCGUAUCAAUGGUGGAACAUGGGUUACUUGGGAGUUCUUUCAAUUCAAAUUUCGAAAGAAAUACACCAGUCAAAGAUUUCUCGAUCAAAAGCACAAAAAGUUUCUAGAAUUAAAAUAAGGCCGAAUGACUGUGAUAGAAUAUGAAAGAGAAUUUGUACGGUUGAGCAAGUACGUUAGGGAGUAUGUUUCUAUCGAAGAAAUUAUGUGUAAGCGGUUUGUCGACGAACGAAGAUAUUAAACUUUUGGUCAGGAUAUUAGAUUUAAAAGAAUUGGUUAUGUUAGUUUAUCGAGCUUGUAAAGCCGAAGACUUUAGCCUAGAAAAGAAAAAAGCUGAUUUAGAGGCUAGAGAUUCGAGAAAAAGACCGAUGAAUAAACCUUAUCAUUCUUUAUCAAAGAAAUUAUGAGAUUCAUAUAGCCAAUUGAAUGCAUCUGUGGGGUACCAGAAUAGAGAUCGUGGAUAUCAACAUGUGAAUUCUAAAGCUCAAGCUACUUCUAUUUCGAUUGUUGGUAGUGUAAGAAAUAACAAACCUGAAUAUCAACAGUGCGGGAGAAGACAUUUUGGUGAAUGCUAGAAUAAGAGUACUAAAGCUUGUUUCAAAUGUGGCUUCCUGGAUCAUUUUAUUAAAGACUGUUCUUAGAUGAUUAAGAAAGAUAAACCUCAAAAUGUGAGACCAAGUAAUAUGUCGACUACGGGAAGACCAACAGGAAAUGCUGGAAAUGUGAGUGGUAGUCGAGGGGCGACAAAGGACUCCGCUGUGAGAUCCGAGGCCAAAGCACCUGCUAAAGCCUACGCUAUUGACGCUUGCAAAGAAACGUCAUCUCUAGAUGUUAUCACCAGUACUUUCACACUCUAUGAUACUAAUGUGAUUGCAUUGAUAGAUCCAGGAUUAACUCAUUUUUAUAUAUGUAUGAAUUUAGUAUCUAAUAAGACUUUACUCGUAGAGUCUACUGAAUUUUUUAUUAGAGUAUCGAACCCCUUAGGAAAAUGUGUUUUGGUUGACGAAGUUUGCAAGAAUUGUCCAUUAAUGAAUCGGGAUUUCUAUUUUCUGGCAAAUCUGAUGUUGUUGCCAUUUGAUGAAUUUGAUGUGAUUUUGGGUAUGGAUUGGCUAACGAUGCAUGAUGCUAUAGUGGAUUGUAGACGAAAGAUAAUUGAACUGAAAUGUUAGAAUAAUGAGACUAUUAGAAUUGAAUCCGAUGAUCUGAAUAGUUUACCAGUUGUGAUCUCGUCUAUGUUAGCUCAGAGAUUUGUGAGAAAGGGGUGCGAAGCCUAUCUUGCUUAUGUACUUGAUACAAAAGUGAUAGAAACAAAGAUUGAAUUAGUACCAGUUGUGUGCGAGUAUCCAAAUGUAUUUCCCAAAGAGUUACCAGGUUUACCACCUAUCAAGGAAGUUGAGUUUGGUACUGAAUUAGUACCGGGAACAACACCGAUAUCGAUAGCUCUGUAAAAAAUGGCUCUAACAAAGUUAAAAAAAUUGAAAACUCAGUUGCAAGAAUUGACAGAUAGAGGUUUUUCUAGACCAAGUUUUUCUCCCUGGGGUGCACCGAUGUUAUUUGUGAAAAAGAAAGACGGCACGAUGAGAAUGUGUAUAGACUAUCGACAGCUCAACAAAGUGACGAUCAAGAACAAAUACCCUUUGCCAAGAAUAGAUGAUUUGUUUGAUCAUUUAAAAGGGGCAACAGUGUUUUCAAAAAUUGAUUUGAGAUUGGGUUAUUAUCAAUUGUGAGUUAAAUACUCAGAUGUGCCUAAGAUUGCAUUUAGAACAAGGUACGGAAACUACGAAUUUCUUAUUAUGCCUUUCGGACUAACAAAUGCACCUGCUGUUUUUAUAUGCACUUGAUGAUUCAGAUUUUUCAGCCAUACUUAGACUGAUUCAUAGUUGUGUUUAUUGAUGAUUUUUUUAUUUACCCUCGUGAUGAAUUUGAGCAUGCCGAGUAUUUGAGAAUUGUGUUACAAACUUUGAAGGAUAAAUAGUUGUUUGCAAAGUUCAGCAAAUGUGAGUUUUAGCUACGAGAGGUUGGUUUUCUGGGACAUAUAAUUUCAGCUGCGGGUAUUCGAGUUGACCCGAGCAAAAUUUCUGUGAUUAUGGAUUAGAAUCCUCUAAGAAAUGUAUUCGAAGUUCGUAGUUUUCUACGACUAGCCAGUUAUUAUAGACGAUUUGUGAAAGGCUUCUCAAUAAUUGCGACUCCGAUGGCAAGAUUGCUUCAAAAAGAUGUUAAAUUUGAGUGACUAGAAAAGUGUCAGUAGAGCAUCGAGCAGUUGAAAGCAUUAUUAACAGAGGCAUCAGUGUUAGUUCAGCCUGAGUCGAGUAAAGAAUUUGUAGUUUUCAGUGAUGCAUCGUUAAAUGGUCUGGGUUGUGUUUUGAUGCAAGAAGGCAAAGUUGUAGUUUAUGCCUCGAAACAGUUGAAGACGCACGAAAAGAAUUAUCCGACACACGAUCUAGAUUUAAUCGCGAUAUUGUUUCCAUUGAAAAUUUGGCGUCAUUAAAUGCCAUAUUUAUACCGACCACAAAAGCUUGAAAUAUCUAAUGACUCAUAAAGAUUUGAAUUUGCAGCAACGGAGAUGGUUAGAAUUGCUAAAAGACUAUGAAUUAGUGAUUGAUUAUCAUCCGGGGAAAGCGAACCUAGUUGCUGAUGCUUUGAGUCGAAAGUCCUUAUUUGCUUUAUGUGCUUUGAACACACAAUUAGUUUUGUCUGACGAUGGUUCGAUAGUAGCCGAGUUAAAAGCGAGACCGUUAUUUCUACAGCAGAUUUGAGAGGCUCAAAAUUUUGAUAAUGAAUUACAAGCAAAACGAGCUCAGUAUGAGUCCACUUCUGAUUCAGAGUUUCUAUUAGGGCCUGAUGGUUGUUUGAUAUUUCGUGAUAGAAUAUGUGUACCAAGAAAUUCUGAGCUUAUUCGGAAGAUUCUAAACAAAUCACAUAGUAGUUGUUUAUCAGUACAUCCAGGAAGCACGAAAAUGUACAACGAUUUGAAAUAGUUUUAUUGGUGGCACAGCAUGAAAUGAGAUAUCUCCGAAUUUGUUUCAAAAUAUUUGAUUUGUUAGAAAGUCAAAGAUGAGCAUCAAGUGUCAUCAGGUUUAUUACAGCAUAUUAUAAUUCUUGAGUGGAAGUGGGAUAGAGUAACAAUGGAUUUCGUAUCGGGUUAGCCCUUAUCUCUGAAAAAGAAAGAUGCAAUCUAGGUUGUUGUUGACAGAUUGACGAAAUCAGCUCAUUUCAUUCUGAUACGUAUAGAUUUCUCACUUGAUAAAUUAGUUGAGUUGUAUAUUUCUGAAAUUGUGAGAUUACAUGGUGUUCCUCUAUCUAUUGUUUCGGAUAGAGAUCCAAGAUUUACUUCAUGAUUUUGGAAGAAAUUGUAAGAAGCUUUGGGUUCAAAGUAGCAUUUUAGUACUGCAUUUCAUCCGCAAAUGGAUCGUCAAUCCGAACAAGUCAUUCAGAUACUUGAGGAUAUGUUACGUUGUUGCAUUCUUGAGUUUGAAGGUAGCUAGGAGAAAUAUCAAUCGCUGAUUGAAUUUGUUUACAAUAAUAGCUUCCAACCGAUUAUAAAGAUGGCACCGUACGAAGCUCUAUACGGUCGUAAAUGUCAAACACUGUUGUACUAGAGUGAGCUCAGUGAAAAUAAGAUUCACGGGGUUGAUCUAUCAGAUAGACUAAAGAAAGAGUGAAAGUAAUUCAUGAUAGUUUGAAAGUAGCUUCGGAUCGAUAGAAAUCAUACGCAGACUUGAAUGGAAAGAUAUUGAGUUCUAAAUCGGGGAUAAAGUUUUUUUGAAAGUGUCGCUGUGGAAAAAGAUAUCGCGGUUUAGUCAAAAAGGGAAAUUGAGUCCACAAUUUAUCGGACCGUAUGAGAUUACUGAGCGAGUUGGGCCAAUGGCAUAUCGGUUGUCCUUACCGUCUUAGUUAGAAAAGAUACAUAAUGUGUUUCAUGUAUCGAUGCUACGAAGAUAUCGUUCAAACCCUUCACACAUUAUUCUCCAACUAAAGUUGAGAUAUAGUUAGAUUUAUCAUACAGUGAAGAACCGAUUCGAAUUUUAGCUAGUGAGAUCAAAAAGCUGAGAAAUAAGAGAAUCGCAUUAGUGAAAGUAUUAUGGCAUCGACACGGGUUUGAAGAAGCUACAUGGAAACCCGAGGAUGCUAUGAGAAAACAAUACUUGAACCUAUUCACAAGUAAAAUUUUUGAUGACGAAAAUCCCUAAGGGGGGAGAGUUGUAACAGCUCAGUUUUAGCUAAAUCAGAAUAGUGGUUUCAGAACCACAAAUCCAAUGUCAGAAAAUUAUUUUUAAAAUUAUUUUCGAUAUUUGCAGCAUGUUAUUUGAUAUGUGUGAAAAUUUCGUGAGCUAGUUUUAUCGAUUGGCUGGUUAAUUUGUACAAAACGACUAAAUCGCAUAAAAUGUAAAAGUUGCAUUCUACUUGUUAAAGGUGUUUAAUUACUAUGAUUUAUUAAAUUAAAAGUCUUUAUGAUGAUAUUAGACCAUUGGUAGUGUUAAUGGACAAUUAUGACCAUCCAUUAUAUGUUUUUAUAUGUUUACAACAAAGGUUAUUAUAGUAAAUUGAUAAAUUAAGUUAAUUAAAUUAUAUCAAUAGAUGAAAUUGUUUCAUAUUCUUCCUUGGCAACCAAAAAUAGAAAAAAAAAGAUAGGGUUUGAAGCUUUUUAAGUUUACUCCUAGCUUAAUUAACAUCAAGAAAGAAAGAAUUCGGAUUUAGAUCGGGGGAAAAACAAGGUUAUCGAGUAGUCGACUCGAUCCAUCAACUUUGAAUACGAGGUAAGUUCAUAUGUUGUAAUUGCAUUACAAAUGUAUUUAUAUGCUUUGAUAUAGCAUGAAUUGUGAUUAUGUGAUUAUAGAUAAGUUCGAAAAUGAUUUGACAAUGAUUCGACAAUUGGAAUCCUGGUUGAACCUUAGGAAUAGUUUAGAAAACUAGUGACAUGUCAUUAGGUAUACUUUGAGUAAGCUUCGGGUCAUGUUAUUAGCACUUCGGGUACGAGAAAUAUCGACUUGGCUUCCGGCCAUGCAUAUCAGCUGAUUUGACUUCGGGCUAUGACAUUAAAAUUUCGGAUAAUUUACCUUGAUUUGGCUUAGGGCCAUGGUAUAGGUACUUAUCGUAAGAGACCUUGAGUAUCCGACUUCUAUUCUGAAUGGUUCAAUGGGUAAAUGAAAGAUGUGGUUGAGUAUGAGAUUGGUACGAGAUGGUACAGGUACGUACGGUAAUGAAUUGAGUAUUGAAACUAUGGAAUUGAUGAGUUCCUUGGUAAGUUAUGUGAAUGACAAUUUGAUAUCUUUAAGAUUUAAUAGAAUUAUUGUAUAUCGUUAUUCUAUUAUUUGAAUGAUGAAUGAAUGAUGAAUGAAUGGUGAUAGUUGCUUAAUAUUCACAUACGAGUUUACUAAGCUAUGAAGCUUACUUCGUGUUAUUUUUCUAUGUUUUUAUAGUGAAUCAAGGAAAGCUCAGAUUUGGGAGUCGUCGGGAACAUCAUCACACUAUCAAACAUCUAAUUUGGUACUUUUGAGUUAUACAUUUAUGUUAUAUGGCAUGUAUAGGCUAGAUGUAGUAUUUUGGUUGUGAUUAUAGCCAUGAGAUUUGGCUUGUAAAUUAUAUAUGUUUUGGUUUGUAUACAUAGCCAUGAUUGAUGGCUUAUUUUGGUAUGUUUGGUAUGAAUGUGGUUAUGGUUUUAUAGUUUUUCAAAUGGUUAAUUAAUUUGUGGAGUAUAAAUGCUUUAGAAAUGCCUUGAUGAGGUAUGAUUUUAGAUGUUGUAUUGGUUAUUUAUAAGGAAGUUAUGUGUGUGUGAAUUGUGGUAAAUGAACUAUAUAGAUUGAUAUUGUUUUGGCAUGUAUUUUACUAAGUAAAUGGUAGUGAUUUGGGAUUUGGAAUAGAUGAAAUUAUAAUGGUAUGAAUAGUGCAUUUGGUUGAUGAUUUUGGCUGCCUAAUUGUAUGAUGAAAUGGUAUCAUUUUGGUUGUUUAGGUGAGCAUGAAUAAGGGUGGCAAAUUGGCCUUACAAAUGGCCUAUUUUUGUCCACACGGCAAAGACACAGGUGUGUGUCUCGACUGUGUGCGACACAUGGUCAUGUUACACGACUAUGUGUCCCUGGUGUUGAUAUUAAAAUGAAGUCAGUAUGCUCCAUACGGUCUCACACACGGGUGUGUGACCAACCAUGUGGUACAAGUCAGUAUACUCCUUAAUUGGCACACGGCCUAGCACACGGGCUUGUGACUUGGCCAUGUUGCAUAAGUCCGUAUACCCUAUAGUUUUGACACAGGCUAGCACAUGGCCUGGAACACGGGCGUGUGUGGCCAUUUCAAAAGGCACACGGGCUAAAUGCACGGGCGUGUGGUUGGCUGUGUGACCCAAGUCAGUAUGUAUGCCCUGUUUCCACAUGGCCUGAGACACGGGCAUGCCUAAAUCCGUGUGAGGCACACGGCCUGUUCACACGGGCAUGUGACCCCUGUAUGGUUGAAAUUUUUCUAAGUUUCCAAAAUUUUUAUAUGUUAUUGGUAUAGUCCCAAACCACUUCUAAAGCAUGUUUAAGGCCUCGUAGACCAUAAGGGACAAUGUGAUUGUGUUAAAUGAUAUAUGAGAAUGAAUAUUUUAUGUUUGAUAAAUGUAUGCUAUAUGUUGUGAAUUGAUUCGUAAUACCUCGUAACCCUACUCCGACGACGGAUACAAGUUAGGGUUGUUACAGUUUGACUUGGUCCACAUACAUAAUUUUAAUUAUAAUACACAUAUACAAAUAUCAUAACAGAAUAGAUCCUACCCCCAUCCACUACAUAUCAUCUCCGACCAACAAUCACACUAAUUAGUACUACAUGAGUCCAUCCAUCCAAUCACACCGGUAAAUGGUGUUAUACCACUCAUAAAUAUGUAGUUGAGCUGCCAGACAGAUAUUGCGGUUUAACUGCUAGAAUUUGCAGUAAUACUACCAGAAUACACUUCCUCCAUUACAUAUCAAAACCUACCCUGAUGCACAUGCAUAAUCAAACCAACAUAUAUUCAUAUCACAUGUAAUGUAUAGCAUACAUACUUAAACAUAUAGAUCAUAUUAUAUCAUAUUACUUAUUCAAAAUUAAUCCUACUUAUCAUGCCUUAUAAGCAUACUCGUACAUAACAUACCGAAUUUACGCUUUUAAACCCCUACAAUAGGAUUCCCAUCAUUUCGUUGUAAAAUUUUGAACUAACAAUAGGAUUCCCAUGUAUGGAUCUUGUUCAUAAGCAUAAUUCUAGGAAACAAUCCAAGAAAUACACAAAUUUGAAAAGAAAUAGAUUGUUUUGUAUAUGUGUUUUUGGUCUAAUUUUGGAUGGAAUUUAUCAAAGAACUUGGCCCAUAAAUUUGGGGUUUUUGCUAGUAGGAUAUCAAAAGAAGAUGGUUCAUAUAAGUUCAAUCAUGCUUGAAUCCAAUUUUGAAACUUGAAUUGGGUGUCAUACUUGAAAUAUAUAAGCCAAUAAUGUCCCAUAUGUUGAUUGUUGAUAAGAAAGGUGUUGUACCAGGUUGUUUCAUUGUCCCAAUAUGUAAAAUGACGGUGGUAGUCUAUUUUGGUGGUAAAUUUGGUUGGGAAUAUUUUCUGGAGAGUUUGGGUUUUCACAUUAUCUCUUGGUCUAAGAAGUUUUAUUAUUUGGGCUAUUGAAUGAGUAAUGAAGUUAGGGUCUUUUAGAUUUGUGUAAUGUUUGAACAAUAUUGAUUCAGUUUGAACCAAUAUGUUUUCAUAAUAUUUUUAGGUUUUUUUGGGAGUUUAAUAGCUUGAUAUGUCAUAUUUUGAAAAGUUCUUUGAUAAUAAUAUGUAGAGGUCUUUUAGAAAAUUCUUUAUUCAUAAUGAUUUUUUUUUCAAAACAUUUGUUUGUAAAAUAUUGUGAGGAUUUUUUUGUGUAGUAGUCUAUGAAGAUGCUACUUUUUUUGAGAAACCUCUUAAAGAAAUAUUUCUUUUAAAAUAUAUUUUUAGAGAUUUUGAUUUGUAUAAAACAUCUCUCUAUUUUUUGAAAUCUUGGUUGCUUGAACAACAAUUUGUAUGAGAAGAAUUUCCUCUUUGAUGUAGCAUAGUUCUUUCAUUACUAAAUGACUAAUUUAUUUACUCACUAUUAAUAUCUAAUCCUUUUUUAAUUCAACACUUAUUAAAUAAAUCCAUUAUAAUAUAUUCCUUUAAAAAAAACCUUCCAAAAUCUUUUAUAUAAAAAAAUAAUGUUUUCAUGCUCUAUUCCUUCUAAAACAUAUUCAUAAAAAUAAUAUUAUUUUUUAAUAUUAUUUACCAAAAUGCAUAAAUCAAGUUAUUAAUAUAUUAAGACCUUAUAUAAAUUUCCAAUGUUUUCAGAUUAAUUUAGAUUAAGUAUGUAACUUUCCAUUUAUAUUAAAAAAACAUUAUUUUUUCAUAAAAACAAUAUCAAAUUUGACUUCUUGAAAAAGUCAAUGCAUUCACCUAAUUGCUUAAAAUAUAUAUCAGUGGCUAAAUAGAUAGUAUAUGCCAUUUUUUUAAAAUUGGACAAAUAGGCCAUUUUUUUUAAGAUUGACGGAUAUAGGUCGAUUUUGGAGAGAGAGUGCAUUAGGCGCGCUUUUAUACUUUCUCUUCUCGAUCAUCAGUUUUUAGGGUUAUGGUUUUUUUAGUUUAAGAAUUAGGGUUUUGAGAGUGAAAUAGUAAAAUUUUAUAUGUAGAUUUGAAGGGCCAAAGAUGCGUAAUGCAUCUCAAAAAACAUACAUUUCAUAUGUAAUGUCGGGAUAGGACCAUUACCUCAAAAAUCCAUCUUUUGGAAGUCGAGUUUCGAGGUGACAGUGUUUCAUAUGGUCAUGGGUUGAAUUCUAAAUGGAGGUCCUAAUCGGUGGUCGUUAUGCGGUCACAGGUUUGAGUAUAACUGCGGAUCAAUUGAUGGUCAUUAUGCAGUCACGAGUUCAAGUUUUUUGGAUACUCGCAAAUGGUGCCUUAUAUAUAUCAUACAUAAGAUUGAGGACAUAAUCAUAAGGAAAAACGAAGGGAUUUCCGAUGUAAUCAACAUAAAUUUUUUCUAGUUCCAAACAGUAGGUGUAUUUAAUCUUUCAUUCUUAUCCAAAAGCUAACAACGAGGUGGUGGAGAGCGGAUGUUCUGGCGGAGUAGAGGUUAAACUCUAGUUAACGCGACAGCGAUUGUAGUUAUUAAUAGGUUGUUUAUUAACGACAACUGUUGUUGCCCCGAAAGGAGCAUCACUUUUACUCCAUCAUUACAGUUGUUGCCCGCCUAAAAGUCUUUCUGCGUCCACUAAGGUGCUACCCUUUGGAUAAGAGCGAAGAUUACAAAAAAGCCCCAAAGUUUUUCCCUAUAAUUAUGCCCUCAAACUUUUGUAUCGUAUUUAUAAGGCAACAUCUUCGGAUAUCCAAAAAGUUUGAGCUCCUGCCUGCAUAACGACCAUCAACUAGUUCCCUAGUUAUACUCUGAUCCAUGACCUCAUAUGACUAUCUACUGAGACUCUACGUAGACUUCCAUUCGAGACUGUAUAAAGUAUCGUCAUCCUAAAACCCAACUUUCACAUGACAGGUUUUUGAGGUAAUGGUCUCGUCUCGAUAGGAUUUAUGAAACGUGUGUGUGUUGGAGCGAUAUCGCAUCACCGAUGACUCAAGAAUACUUUAAAUAGGAAUAAUAUUAUCAAAAAAAAAUUUGAACUCUGAAGCAGGGAAGAAAAUAGAGAGAGAAAUAUUAUAAAAUGGAUGGAUGAUGACCGAUAGAAAUGGUAGGUUUAAGGAUGAUGGAAUAUGGACGGAAAGCCUCCUCUUUUAUAGGUGCAAGAGAGGGGUGAGAUUAAAAAGAAAAAACAACUCGUGGUUGAAAAUGUCUUAUAGAAAAGACGUUUUCAUCGAAUAUCUAAAAGAAGUGCCUCAAAUCAUACACGAGAUUACUCAGAUCAGGGCACCUUAGCAGGCUUUGAGUGGUGGUGGACUGUCCACCACCAUUCAAAGCCUACCAAGGUGCCUUGCCCUUGAGAAUCUUGGGUAUGUUUUCAAGCAUAUUGAAGACCCUUUCAAGCGCACGUCUACUGAAAUUGAUUUUGUUGAAAUGCAUUUUCAAGUACAAAAGAACCUUUCAUUAUUAUUAUUCAAUGGAAACGCGUCUUGAAAGGCGCUUUCAAGCACCCCUUCCCUCUCUCAUCGUUCUUUUUUGCUAUUAAACUACUGAAGUAUUCAAUACUUAGACACAAGCAAAUUCAUUCUUUUUUGAAGAGUUGCAUUGCAAAUUCAUUCUUAAACCUAUCCCAAAUAAGAGUAUGUAACCGUCAAUGUUCAGCACCCCAUUCGAGUUGGCACUGAAUAUCAACUUGCGUCACCUCCCAAAAAGUCGUCCGAAUUCUACUCGGAUACGCACCAAUAUAAAUGUUCAAGAGAGAGACAAUUAAUAAAGGUUAUGCGACUAUUGUAGGAACCUAGGGCAUAUUAAGGUAACAUGUCAACAUUUGAGGGGUGUAUUGAGGACAACACGUCGCUAACAUAUUUUUUUUGUAUAGAAAUUGAUUAAAAUGUUUUUUUGGUACAAAAUCUGUUCAUUCUUUUCUAUACCUAACAGAUUGUUUGGUCUUAUUACACUUUUUACUUUCAACUUUCAUAGAAAUUUUGUGAUGGAUAAUAAAAUUAUCCCUUUCACUAUUUUGUUUUCCAUGGUGAAAUAGUGAAUAAGGCUAAAUUAGGUGUAGUAAUUUACCUCUCAAUAUUUAUAAAAUUAUCAUUAAACUUUUUAUAUCAAAUAUUAUAUAUGGAAAAUUACGUACAAUAUAGAUUAGAAUUUAACAAAGACAAUUAUGUGUUGCAGCACAAAUAUAAAAAAAAAUUUAAUCACGUUUUAUUGAUAUCAAUUAUAAUCACAUCAUAAAAAGUAACUGAAAAAUAUAUCAUCGACGCUAUUGUGUUGAAUGUGUGCCACAGGGCAGUGGCUAACGAUUGCAGAUAGGAUUUAUACAUACAACUUGAGGUGUCGGGUCCACUUUUUAGUCAUGAUCCUCGUCUUCAUUUUUACCUCAACCCUCGUAUUCAUCUUUGUCUCCACCCUCAUCUUGGUCUCCAUCUCCUUCUUUCGUGGUUAAGUAUGGUAUCAUCCUAGCCUCCCAUUGUGUGUCCUCUAUUCUAUGAGAAGGUGGUUAUGAUGAUGAGCCACCUUGAUAAACUACGACACGAUGGGUGUUUGUAACUAUUGAUAAAUAACCGUAUGAUGUCACAAAACCCGGUUGCGCGUAAUAUCAGGGAAUCAUUGUUGUUAAAGAAUACGUAGACAUGAUAUCGGCAUUGAUGUUGACAUUAGUGUCAGCAUUUAUGUCGGCAUCAGGGCAUAAUAUGCUCGGGACAGCGGUGCUGCGGAAUACACACUACAAAAGGUGUAGAUGUAGGAUAUUGCGGUGGUGCAUAGUAUGGUCUAUAAUGUGGUGCUUGUGAAAAAUAUAUAGGGUUAGUGAAAGAAACAUGAAUAUAUAGAAGGAACUGAUUGGGAUAUGGCGUAGACAUCGGUGCCCCUUGUUGGGUUGAAGUCGAUGACGAACUCAUUGCGGCACUUGCUCUGGACCUACGAUGCUAGGGCGGUCGUCGUGGUCUCUUCGGACGAAUUUGCCUACUCAUCGCCUCCACAAAUAGUAGAUAUGACUUACCAGUGAGUCUAAAUAAAGGUAUGUACUCCAAAGAGGUCAUCGUGUCUGGUGUGAAAAAGGGUCACAAAUGCGUAUGAAAUUCAAAUGGGUAUGAAAUUCAUCUUGUGAUCCCAAACUUCGAUGUACUCCUUGUGGAAUCCUCGCUAAUUUUCGUCAGUUUUCCCCCACAAAUCAAGCUUGCAAAGUGCUUCAAUGUCUUGUGGUGUCGGGAAAAUUUUUUGCUUCCACCCAAACUGUCUCGUCAUUCAAUCUAAUUCAUGCAUCUCCACCGCUGCAUAAACUCAAUGGCACCUUUAUGCCCAACAUACUCUGAAUGACCAAAAUUUUAGGCAGGAUGUAUUUUAUGAUAUCCAGAUCAACGUAUGACAUCCAAUCAAACUAUAGUACACAAUUAUAAAUUUCAUUAUCUACAAAAUUUUAAAUUCCAAAUCAUUGCAUAAUUAUUAUAAGUUUAAAAAAUUCAAUAACUAACUUUGACUUCGGAGCGUUGAUCUAACAGCAACCGGAUAUAUUCGAGCUGCUCCAGUAGUCCCACAUAAAUUGGCCCAUGGUACCAUUUACUCAAACAAUAUAUUAAUUCAAAAAUAUAAUAAAUAAACAACAUUAACUAUGCUAACUAUAUAUUGUUAUCAAAUGAAUUUUACCUUGUCACCAAUUGGAAUGUAUAAGAGUCGUCCACUUGAGGACGUGAAAAUGGUAGUGGCCACCAUGUCCAUGACUGCAGCAGGAGCAAGCACCUACCAAUUGACAUCUUAUCUUGUUUCGUCGCCCAACACAACUCCUUGUGUAACGUGGCUAACGUGGUUGAUCCUCAACUAAGACAACCACAUUCUUUGAAGUCGACUAGGUGUAGUAGCCACCUUAUGUGUACUAAAUUUCAAGAUUUAUCGGGUAUUAGAAUGCCCUUGAUUAACCUUAGGAUGAAUGCUCGUGCGUAUUAUUCUUUUUCGAUGUCAGUCACAUCCUUAAGAAAGAAUUUGAAAUUAUCUUCCAACCAUUUCAUCUCUAUCCGGCCACCUUGAAACUUGUUCGGCACCUUCCUUAAAAAUGCCUCGCAGAGGUCCUCCUUAUUGGGAACGACCGCUGCCCCUUUAACGAUUAACCCAUCCACUAGUAAACCGAGUUGUAAAGCUACGUCCUAGAGUGUCAUUGUACACUCGAUCUAUGGAAGAUGGUAUGUUUGUUUCUCGGGUCUCUAUCUUUCCACCAAUGCGUUGAUAAGUGUAGGAUCCAAUUUACAAUGCUCAAGCAUACAAGACACGUGUAAGAAUCUCGCAUCUUGCAAAUAACCACGAAUUUCACUGUCUAGGCUCUUUGAUAAAUUGUGUCUGAACCCCUCCAAAACACUAUCAUCCGCCUAUUUAUAUAAAUAAAAUAAAAUAAUUUUAAAAAUUUUAAAACUUUAAAAUUAACUUAAUUGAAAAUAAUGAAACUAAAAAUUUUUCCUUGCCAUUAUCAAUUGAGCGGUACAAAUGUGCUUGUUGUCGAAACGAGUAAAAGAACUCGUCAUUUUUGAAAAUUUAAUCGAAAUGAAUAAUCUACGAUAUAAUAAAAUAAAAUAAUAAUAUUUUUAUACAAAUGUAUUGGAAAAUUUUGAGCAAAUCUUAAAAAAAUUGAGAGAAUUGAGAAUUUAGAGAGAAUAGAGAGAGUUAGAUUUGAAUGAAAAGAAUAAAACAUAACAUAUUUAUAAGAAAUUAAAUUUAUUGUUGGAUUAUUUAAAAAUUUUACUGUUGGCGUGUUUGAAUUUACACAGUUUGGGAAGAUGAUAGUUGGAAGCUGGACUCUCUCCAGAAUCAGCAUAUUUAGCCUAUAUAAUCACCGAAAAUUGACUGCUAUAAUUGUGCAAUUUCAUAAGCAAAAUUACAACACAUACCAAAAACCCUAAAUCUCUUACGAGGAUAAAUAACAGUACUGAGAUUUGUUUAUCUUUAGAUUUUUCAUAUAUGAUAUCGAGUUUGAGUGAUGUCAAUUAUUUACCUCUUCCAUUGUCUUAUGUUUACUUUUAAAUAUAUUACUUUAUAAUGUUAAUUACAUUAUUAUUUACUUUUCGGCUAUGGAAACUUGCUGGGAUUCAAAUCAAACAAACUAACUUCUCAAUUCCUACUUUUCUAUUAGCUGCAUUUUUUUCUUUUACACAAAAUUUUCCUGUUUAAUAUAUAUUUCUUUAUCAGAUUUAAUACCUACUUCAUGGGAAUAUACAAAUAUAUUUAAUAAUAAUUCUUUUUCUUGCAGUUUUUUAAAGAAAUUUUCCUGCAAUUCUCAAAAUUUUAUUUAUUCUAUAAACUGUCAAUGGCUGGAAACUCUGCUUCACAGAACAGAGAGGUUAGAUUCUCAAACUUAGUUCAAUUAUAUAUAACAUGGAUAAAAUUUGAAACGUCUAAUGUUUUGUGUUCUUAUCAAUUUCAAUGAGUGCAACAACAAAAAUUCUAGAAGACAAGAAAAACAAGUAUUCCUUUAUUGACAUAAACAUGCAUGUUUUUAUUCUUAUUUAUUAAAAUUAUUUGAAUUUAUAUAUCUAAUGUAAAAAUUAACGUAUCUUCCGUAUUUGGAGUAUUCCAUGAUCUAUAUUAUUGCAUAAUUUUAAAAAUUGUUAUAUCAUUAUUAAGACAUUUCCGUUUUCACGAACUUAUCUUCUAUGCUUGAGACGAAAGCGGCUAGUAACGUUGACGCAGAUUAUAUUAUACGUCAUGAAAUCUAUUGUUAUAUUUUCAGCAAAUUAACUCUUUGGGUUCAAUUCAUCAUGCUGUUGAUGCUAUAUUAAAAUUAAGCUUCAUCAAAAAUGCCAACACUAAACUUAAGGGAACAUCUAAAUGCACUAAGCAAGAAAUACUCAGUGUAUGCUUAAUGCCCAUUUUAUGGUAAUAAUAUUAGCUAAUAUUUGGCAAUUUGAUUUACAAUUAUAUAUGUUGAUAAUAUUUUAAUAUGAAUUAUAAAAAAUUAAACCGCUUUUAUAAUUAAAUUAUAAUCAGGUUUUAAUAUAUAUAAUGAUAAGAAAACACAUUUUAAACCCUUUAUUUUAAUCGCAUACCAAAAAUUGAAAAAUAAAAAUUUAUAUUAUAUUUACAUUUUUUAAUGAUAAUAUUUUUUUUAAAUUUUAAUAAAUAAAUAGAAUAUAUUUUAAUAUAAACAAUCAUCUGCAGCAAGUUUUAAGAAACAUUUCUUUUUGCCCCUAUAGAAAUUGAUUUAGUGUUCCACUUUAAAGUCUUGGAAUUCAUAAUCAUUACAUCAAUUGUUUUUGGCAGAAAAAGAGUAUUAAAAAAGGAAAGAGUGAAAUUUACAGAUUGCUGUCUCUCUCUAUGUUAUCCUCUCACUCUCUAUAUAAAAUAUAUGUUAAUUUGUUGAUUAACUUUUAUAAGUUCCUCCACUUUACUUUUUCUCCAUUUGUUGCUAAACUUUAAAGGUUGCCUGUGAUUUCUUACAACCUGGAACACCCUUUAAAAAGAUAUUUUUUUUUAUAUUUAUAAAUAAAAUUCACAUUAUCAUUUUUGUUCAUCAUCCAAUUUGAUAUCGUAUUAUAGGAAAUUAAAAUUUUGAAAAUGGUUAAUUAAUAACUUUUAUUGUGACGGAAUGUGUGGCUUGAAAAUGAAAUUAAAAUGAAGAAAUUCCACCGAACCUGAACAACACCUUCUUGGAACUUAGACUCCAUUAAUAAAUAAUAAUAUAAUUCUAAGUAGACAAUAUAGAAGCUUAGUUAUAAAAUUACAAAAAGAAAUGAAAUAUGUUGGCUAAUUUAACGAAAAGUGCCUUUUCUUUUAAUUAAGCAUUUAGGUUGUUUUUUAUUUAUUUAUUUAGAGAAAUAAGUCGUUUUUAGGAGAGAAAGAAAAAUCAUUUUCAGUUGGGUAUGUUCUCUUUCUCUAUCCUAGGAUUAGGGUUAGAGUUUUAGAUUUACGUUGUAUGGUUUAGGGUUUUUUUGAAAGGAUUUAGGGUUUUUGGCUAAAACUGUAAAAAUCCAUAAGUAGAUUUGAAGGGUCGAGGAUCUGAUAACGCGCCUCAGAACACUCACAUUUUAUAUGUCAUGGCGGGAUAGGACUAUUACCUUAGAAACCCAUCGUGGGGAAAUCUGGUUUCAGGGUAAUAAUGCUCGAUACGAUCAGGGGUCGAAGUCUAGGUGGAGGUCUUAGUCGGUAACUGUAAUGCAAUCAAGGGUUCAAGUAUAAUCGGGGAGCCAAGUGAUGACCAUUAUGCAGUUAGAAGUUCAAGUUUUUUGGAUACUUGCAAAUAGUGGCCUAUAUAUACCAUACAUAAGAUUGAUGCCAUAAUCAUAUGGAAAAACGCUAGGGACUUUCGGUGCAAUCAACGUACUUUUUUUCUCUAUUUCCAAGCAGCUAAUAUCUUUGACAUUUCAUUCUUAUCCGAAGGCUGGUAUUGAGGUGGACACAAGAGGGCUCUCAAGUGGAGAGUGGAUGUUCCAGCAUAAUAGAGGUCAAACUCGGGUCGACAAGGCAGCGUUUAUAGUUAUUAAUGGGUUGUUUAAUAACGGCAAUUGUUGUUGCCCCGAAAGGAGCAUCACCUUUACUACACCGCAACAGUCGCUCCCUACCUGAGAGUCCUCUUGCAUCUAUGACGGUGAAGGCUAAAGGUAUCGGUUGCUUGGAAAUAAAAAAAAAACUACACCAAUUAUAGCAGGAAGGCCCACAUUUUUUCCAUAUGAAUAUGCCCUUAUACUUUUAUAUGGUAUUUAUAGGCAUCAUUUUCAAGUAUCCGAAAAGAUUGAGCUCGUGGCAGUGUAACAACCGUCAACUGGCUCCCCUGUUAUACAUUGAUCCAUUACCGCAUAACAGUCAUUGAUUGAGACCUCUACGUAGUCCACGCAUAAAGCGAAAUCACCCCGGAACCCGACUUCCCUAAGAUAAGUUUUAGAGGUAAUGGUCCCAUCACGGUAGGACAUAUAAAUUGUGUGCAUCUCGGAGCAAUAUCGCAUCACUGGCGACUCAAGAAUACCUUGAACAUUAAGAAAAUAUUUUAUAGAUAAGGGAUGGAGAGGGGAGGAAAAGAUGUUUGAGAGAUAAUGAAGCUUGGAGUGUGUAACCUCUUUUAUAGGUGGGGGGAAGGGUUGGUUUACAAAGUAAAAAUUUUCUUUUCUUGAAAACGCGCUAUAGAAGUCAAAGAAUAUAUUUGAAAUGAGGUUAAAGUGGUUCAAAAAAAAUGAAGCGUCAGACACUUUUAAUUUCUAGAAGAAGAAAAAUUUUAAAGAAAGCACAAAUAGAGCGUCCAGCUAGGCUCGCUUUCCUACCGUGUCAACAGGAAAGGAACUUUGUCUAACAUUUUUCAUCUGUUGUUGUACAUUGAAGUAACUUUUGCAGAAUACCUAGGGAGAAAGUUAUAAGGUGGGCUGAAAUUAUAUAACUUCUGAACGCGUCUUGAAUACUCUGGUGCACUUGCAUCAUGAAAAAUUCAACGAAUGCAUACAUUCAUGAAUGAAUUUUGAAGCAUGUAUUCCCAUUAUACCUAUAUUAUUUUUGUAACACCCCUAACAUGUAUUUGUUAUCGGAACAGGGUUACAGAGCAUUAUCGGAUUAAGGUUACGAAGUAUUACCAAUUAAAGCACAAAUCCAAACAUUCACAUGAGUACACUUGUAUAAAUUUUUAAGAACAAUUAUUUAUUAACAUCAAUAAUUAAUGCAAUUACUAAUAUCACAUAACUGAAUAUACUUUUAAUUCAACUUAUAAAAUGUGCAAACAUUCAAACUUUAUUACACUUAAAUCGCAUACUGUAUAUUCUAUACACAAAUGGAAUAUACAAAAACUACAACAUAUAAUCAUUUAAACAAAGUCAUAUCAUAUUUGGCAUUCACUUAAUAACAAGUUGGACACUUAUACUUCACAUAAAAACACAUACUAUUUUCAAGAUUUACCAUUGCAGAAGUUGCUAUUCAUCUGGUUAUUAUUCAAUGCAUUUAGCAGAAUGCAAGUUUAAUUAAACAAUUAAUCACUUACAACUUAACUCAAUCAUUUUACAAAUCUAUGCACUUCAAACAUUCAAAUCAAUAUACAUGUUAUAUAAUAUAAUAAUAACAACAUUUAACAAGACGUGACCGAAUGCAAACUUGUUAAAAUUUGUCCAUUUUAAUCAUAUUUUCCGAACCCUAAUGUAAUAUAAUUUAAUAAAUCCUAAUAACAUAAACAAAUUAUCAUUAUUUGGUCCAUUCGUUAUAUAACUAUCACAACCAAAUUUAAACAAUUAAAACCUAUUCAAAUACAUGCAUGCAUAUGAUAAUUGUUACAUUUCAAUACUAAGCUGAAACUAGUUUACUAUUUCCAAGUACCAAAAUAGAAAAUAACACAUUUCCUAAUUUCAAUCCUAACCAUCCCAAAACAUAUCAGAUUAUUCUUUAAAACCUAUUCAAAACACAUCCCAUACAUGCUGUGUAAUAAUCGUGCCAAACAAACUUAUCUCAUAUUCGAAUGUAACCAAAUAAAUAUUAAUACUAUACCACAUAUUAAUACUUUAAUAGUAUGUCAACCAAAUUUUCAUUCAUACUUUAUUUUAAUAUGAAUCACAUUUAAAACAACCAAACAUACCUAAGGAUAUAUGCAUAUAUAUUACGACCAUUAUAUUCAUACCUCUUCCAAGUCAUUAAUCAAUUUCCAUGCUCAAACAUGUGUCACUACUCAACCAUUUCCAAAACAUAUAUCAUAUAUCACCUAUGCCAUUCAUUCACAACACAUAGCAUCAUCACCAAACAGUUUAGACCAUCAUCAAACAUAAUCAAACCAAACUUAGAAGUAAAGCCAUUUUUGAAUGGCUUUAGUUAUACAUGACCAAAAUUCAACAUUUCAAAACACAUUUCAACCUAUACAUGCCAUAGUUCGAGUUCAACUAUUUAAAUACCGAAGAGGUAGAUAGUGUGAUGAACUUUGCUGACGUUCCCUGAGCUUGUAACUUGAAUCUAAAAUCUAUAAAACAGAAGAAAAUAUACCCACAGUAAGCUAUAAUAGCUUAGUAAGUCAUAAGAAAAUAAGCUAUAAUAGCUUAGUAAGUAAUUAAACUAAACCAUAAUAUAAUAUAGUUAUUACAUUUAGUUGCAACUACCAUGUUUCAUAAAUAAUGCGUUUUCUUACACAAACACCACAUUGGCCGAAUCCAAAUACUUACUUAACAUUCUACCUUCAAGCCAAAAUGUCAAUAUAUAUACACCGAAUAUAUAUACACUUAUAUACACGAGCUCAAAAUCAUAAUAUAACAUCUUGUAUAUAUAUACUAUCUAUAUGGCCGAAUAUACAUGGUUUUAUAUACACCUAUUCAAAAACCAAUUCUAUAAUAUUCAUAUCAUUCAUUCAUAAAACCAAACACAUAUAUCAUGGUCACAUAAAUCAUUUAUUUGCAUCACCCAUGAUCUAAAACAAACAACCAAAUUACUUACUUACUUUAUUUUAGUUAGGUAGCAAACUAAUUCAUACCUGGUCGUUUCAACUCAUUUUACACUUUCGAUCACAACUUAUCGAUGCCCGAUAAACCAUUCAGAAUUGGAUAGGACACUCGGAUAAUCACACAUAUAUUGUACAAUGCCAACGUCCCAGACGUGGUCUUACAUGUAAUCACAUAUCGAUGCCAUUGUCCUAGACAGGGUCUUACUUACACAUAUAUAUCGGAAUCACAUACCGAUGCCAUGGUAUUACUCGCACACAUAUAUCGGAAUCCUAUGUCAUGACAUAUGUAUCCUAACUAUUCCUAAGGUUCAUACGCAGCUUUCGGACGUCGUAACUCGGUCGAAACGAACUUGGAAAUAUAGUAGCCAAGCUUAUUCACAUUCGGAUAUAGCAUAUAAUAGUUCAUUUAUUUCAGUUCAAUAUAUAUACUUUGCAUUUAAUUAAAAUUAGGUACGUCUAUUUGCUUAUAAACUUACCUUGGACUAUGUAAAACGAAACGGGACAGCUAGUCGACAACUUUCGUUUUCCUCCGAUCCAAAUUCAAUUUCUUUGGUUCUUGAUCUAAACAUAUUCAAAUUAAUAACAUUCAAAUAUAUUUUCAUUCAAUUUAGUCCAAAAACACAUAAAUCAAAAAUUACCAUUUUACCCCUAACAUUUACACUUUUUACAUUUUAGCCCUUCUUGCACAAAACACAAAAUAUGCAAAAUUUCCCUAUACCCAAGUUAGACCGAAUCUUACCCAUAUCCAUACAAGUCCUUACAUUUCAUUUAUUUCACAUUUUAGUCCCUCAAAUUAUUUUUUUUUUCAAUUUAGUCCUAAUUACUCAAAAUCAUCAAAAACUCCAAUGCAAAACAUGUUAAUCUAAAACCUAUCUUUCAUAUUUCAUCAUCAAACAACAAAAAUCACAAGCUCUCAACAAUGGCAUAACUCAAAAUAUUUUCCAAAAUAAAAAAUUCAAGCAUGGGCCUUGAAGAUAACUUAGCAACGAUCUCAAAAACAUAAAAAUUAUCAAAAACCGAGCUAAACACAUACCUUGAUUGAUCUUUAAAGAUGGUCGAACCCUAGCUUCUAAUAUUUCUUUUUAUUUUUGUUUAGUUUUGGUAAAAAAAAAAGAAUGAACAUGGCUUAUUUUUAUGUUUUAUGAUAUAUAUUAUAACUUAUUAUAAUUUAAAGUUUAAUUUACAUAUAUAACCUUAAUGAUAUAAUAUAAAAACUAUAUAACAUAUGCCUAAUAUCGUCCAACUAAUAUGUAAAUGGGCUAUUUACAACUUAAAGGCUUCCAUUAAUAAAGCCAUUAGCAAUUCGGCCCAUUUUGGAAAUAACCACCAAAUUUUUAUUUUACGCGAUUAAGUCCUUUAUUCAAUCAGACACUUAAACGAUAAAAUUAAAGCACGAAAAUUUCACAGAUAUACAUUCACACAAAAUAAACAUAGAGAAUAAUUUUUAAAUAUUUUUUAACUCGGAUUCGUGGUCCCGAAACUACCGUUCCGAUUAGGGUCAAAAUUGGGUUGUUACAUGUAUAACAGGAAAUUAACUUACCAUUUAUUUCACAUUAAGGUAAGCUAACUAAACAUGCUCAAACCAAUUUGGCCAAUUGUCUAAACACUUAUCCUCAUCAAGCAUGUUAGUCAUGUAAUUCACAUAAAUACCAAGAAACAUGAAUGAGCUCAUCAAUAUUCAAUUUUCACAUACAUGUUUUUAUCACUUAAAGUAUACGUGAACAUGUACAUAUGAUAUCUUUGUACUUCAAAUAUUUCUCAUAAUAAUUCAUCUUGAAUUCAUUUCAUCUCAUAUUGGAACUUUACCCGUUGAAUCAUUUAAAAUAUCGAUGGAUACAUGGGUAGUACAUAUGAAGUGUAUGAAUCAGAGAUUUGUCAAUUUAUAUUCGGGGGUGUUCAUUAGAGCACAUAAUCGGGAAGCCCUCUCUUGAGCCAUAUAACAGGAAGCUCAUGUGAGCCAUAUAACGAGAAGCUUAUCCGGGCUGUAUAACGGAAAGCUCAUAAGAGCCAUAAUUAGGAAGCUCAUGUGAGCUAAUAACGGGUAACUCCAAAGAGCCAUUAAUCGGGAAGCUCCGUAUAACCAUAUAUCGAGAAGUUCAAGCGAGCCAUACCGGGAAGCUCUAGAGAGCCAUUAAUUGAAAAGCUCACAAAGAGCCUUUAAUCGAAAAGCUCACGAAGAGCCAUAUAUCGUGUAACGUCCCCACGCCCAAAAUCGUCGCCGGAGUCGAGCUUGAGGGGUUACCGAACAUAAUUUAUGAAAUUAAGAACAUCAAAUUAUUUAUUUCUACAUUCACAACUUUCUAGCUACCCGCGUCACAGUUACAAGAAAAAUCAUAUCUCGAGUUAAGAAACUCAAAAUCAAGAUCCGUAAAUUUUCCCUAAAUCUACACUCAUAUAUAUAUUUACUAAUUUUUUUCUAGAAUUUUUGAUUCGGCCAAUUAGUACAGUUUAUUAGUUAAAGUCUCCCCUGUUUCAGGGUUCGACUGCUCAGACCUCUGUGUAUUACGAAUCAGAUAUCUCUCUAUACAGAAUUUUAAUGACUACAAGGUUUGUUUCUCUUAAAACUAGACUCAACAAGGUAUCUUUACAUAUAAAUAAUGACUUCUAAUUAUUUUUUUACAAUUUAUUAGGAAUUUUUAAAUUCAGAACAGAGGAUCCAGAAAUCACUCUGGCCCUGUUUCACAAGGUUUCAAAUAUCUCAUAAAGUAUAAUUUAUAUGCCUGUUUUUUUUAAUCCAUAUGAAAAUAGACUCAUUAAGCUUCAAUUUAAUAACUUUCUCAUCAUUUAAUUCCAUUUAUACUAUUUUUAGUGAUUUUUGAAAUUGAUGUCAUUGCUGCAGCAAUAUUCUGUUUUAAGGCAAAUUUCAUCUUUUCAUGAGUUGUUAUGAACUAGAUAACCUAUUAAACUUCCAUGAUAUCAAACAUGAUCUAAAUUUAACCAUCACCAUGACUUAUCAAUAUCAAACAUUUUCUCAACCAAUCAUGGCCAUAUCAUAAAAUUAUUUACACAAAAUAAGUAUAUUGCUAUACAUGCCAUACUUAAGUUUUACAAGCCAUUUACCCAGAUGAAAGUCCUUUGGAUAGUGUGAUCGAACCUUCGACCCGUCCCGAUUCCCGAGCUGGCUUGUUCAAAACUACAAUAAAUAAAGAGGAGGGAGUAAGCAUAAAUGCUUAGUAAGUUCAUAUGUAAAUAACAAGUAACAUAACAAUACAAAUAUACUAAACAACUUUAGCAUGGUAUCACCAAAACAUAUAUCACAUUUCUAAACAUCAUUCAUCAUCUUACCACCUUAUCGUUGUUGUAUCUAUUUUCAACCCGAGGGUUAAGAACAUACUUGUCCAAAGUGUCCAUUUCACAACACUUACCAAAACGUCGCUUGCAUCUUAAGUGUUCUUCCAUUUCACUAGAAAUUUCACCCGUUGAACACAUCGGAAUACAACUCGGAUACACGGAUAAUUUGCACAUAAGUGCCUCAUAUGUAAUCAAGAAAUCAUGUAACCCGCCCCUAAGUGAACUCGGACUCAACUCAACGAGCUCGGGCUUCGCAUCCAUAAGUGAACUCGGACUCAACUCAACGAGUUCGGAUGCCUAGUUACAUUUCACGAACUCGGACUCAACUCAACGAGUUCGGACUUUCGCAUCCAUAAGUGAACUCGGACUCAACUCAACGAGUUCGGAUGCUCAACCAUCCUAGUGACAUGUCACUUGUAUCCUAAUCUAUUCCUAAGGUUCAAACGGGCUUUUUCCCUCGAUCUCACAUUUGCCGUCUUCCAUGGAAUAUCGGAACCGAUACUUGGUAGCAAUUCAUAUUUAUCAAGUAGUAAACAUAAUUUGCAUAUUACUCAAUAUUAACCACAAAGCAUAAUAUUUCAUGAUUAAAAAUCAGCAUAUCAUAUAAUUAACAUUAAUAACUUAAAAAUAACAUUUAUGCUACAUUAUUUACACAUGAACUUACCUUGGUACCAAAAUAUAAAGAUUUUGCAAUUUAGUCCACAAUCUUUUCUUUUCUUCGAUCGCGACUUGAAUCUCGUUUCUCUUGAUCUAUAAUGCCAAAUUAAUCUUAUUCAAUACAUACAUUCAUCAAAACAGCAUUUAAUACGAACUUUCAAAAAAUUACACUUUUGCCCCUAAACUUUUACAUAAUUACACUUUUGCCCCUAGGCUCGAAAAUUAAACUUUAUUCCUUAUUCUUAUGUUUUAUAACAUGCUGAUCAUUUUUCCCUUCUAUGGAAACAUCAAAUUCUUACUCUAACAUAUACUUGUGACUAUUAGGUAUUUUUGCCGAUUAAGCCCUUUUACUCGUUUUCACUCAAAACCGAGUAGCACAAGUUGUCUAACAUAAUUUAAAACCCCAUAUUCUAUCAUAAAACAUCAAAAUACACAAAUUUCACCUAUGGGUAUUUUUCAAAAUAUAAACCCUAGGUUGAAUUAUUGCUAACAUAAGCUUAAUCGAGCUACCGGGAUUCCAAAAACGUAAAGAACAUUAAAAACGGGGCUUGGAAUCACUUACUAUGGAGCUUGGAAGCUUGAAACAAACCCUAACUAUGGAGAACCCUUGAAAUUUCAGCCUAAUGAAGAAGAUGGACAAAAAUUGGCUUUUAAUUUUGUUUUUAAUUCAUUUUAAUAACUAAAUGACCAAAAUGCCCUUACUACUAAACUUUCCAAAAAUUCCAUCCAUGUCCAAUUUUUGUCCAUAGACUUAGAAAUUGGUUAAAUUGCUAUUUAAGACCUCCUAAUUAAUAUUUCAAUGCAAUUUCAUACUAAAAACUUCUAGAAUGCAAAUUUUGCAACUUAUUCGAUUUAGUCCCUACUUUCAAUUUAAACACUUUAGGCAUAGAAUUUCAUCACGAAUUUUUCACACAAUCAUGCAAUCAUAUCAUAUUCAUCAAAAUAAUUAUAAAAUAAUUAUUUCUAUCUCAGAUUUGUGGUUACGAAACCACUAUUCUAAUUAAGCCCUAAUUCAGGAUAUUACAUAUUGGGAUGCCCAUAAGAGCAGUUGUGUGUCUACAACACAUGCAGAAUCACAACCAAUCGGAAUGCUCCGAAGAGCUAUUAAUAGGAAGCUCGCAAGAACCAUAUAACUAGAAGCUCGAGAGGGCGAAUAAUGGGACGUUCUUUCGAGCUAUGGUGUGUCCGCAACAUAUGCAGGACCACAACCAAUUCGGGAACCCUAAAUCCAUCGAAUUUCAUUUAUUCAAUCGGGACUUAAUACUUAUCGAGCAUUAUUGGAUAUGUGACCAAUUUUCAUACAUGUAAAUUAUACAAUACACAUACAUAACAUUCAAUUUAAACAUAUAAAUAUACACAAUUUAGUUACAUGAACUUACCUUGACAAGUGUUCGUUGAUUUGUUGUCUAUUAAUCCGACACUUUCUCUUUUCCUCGAUCUAAUUCUGUAUUUUAUCUUUCGAGGUCUAUACGAGUAAAUUUAACUCAAUUUAAUACAAUUCAUAUUAAAUUCAAUUCAAUUCGCAUCUUAGGCAAAAUUACCAUUUUGCCCCUAUACUUUUAUUUAAUUACGAUUUUGUCUCUAGGCUCUGAAAAUAAAAUUCAUGCAAUUUAAUCCUUAUUCCAAGCCUAUUCAAUUUUUACAUGUCACAAUAGCAGCCCAUUUAUUUCAUAAAACUUAAAAUUUAUCCAUAAAUUUUACAACUUUUCAAUUUAAUCCCUAAAUCAUAAUUUCAUCAAAAUCCCUUUACAAAAGUUGUUUAUCUAUCAAUAGCCUUUCAUUUUCUACCAUAAAACUUCAUAAUUAAAUUAUAUUCAUCGAUGUAAAAACCCUAUUACUUUGAUAACUUUGCAAAUUAAUCCCCAAGAUAGCCAAAUUAUGCUAUUACGAUCUCUGAAAUAUAAAAAUUACUAAAUACGAGACUUGAAUACUCACCUAAUUGAGCCAAAUAAGCUUUCUACCUUAAAUAUCUUCUAACUAGGGUUUCCAUGUAAAUAUAUUUGGGAAAAAUGAUGAAAAAGAUGAUAUUUUCUUUAUUUAAUCAUUUAUCAUCUUUUAUUAUUUUUACUUUCCAAUUUAGUCCUUUUCUUUAUUUAAUUUUCCAUGGAUGACUAAGAAUACUUUUCUACUAACUCCUCUUAAUGGUCUAUUUUCCAUAUAAGGACCUCAAAUUUUGAAUUCCACAGCUAUUUGAUACUUAUAGCUACUAGAAUCCAACUUUUGUACUUUAUGCAAUUUGGUCCUUUCUAUUAAAUUAAACAUGUAAUCGGUAAAAUUUCUUUACGAAUCUUUUUUAUAUGAUAUUUCUAUCAUAAUUAAUACCAUAAAAUAAUAUUAAAAUAAUUUUUAUUUUAGGACUCGAAUUUGUGGUCCCGAAACCACUAUUAUAAUUUCACUAAAAACAAACAGUUAUAAUCUUCCUAUAAAAGGAAUUUAUUUUUCAUAACCUAGACAUGCAUGAAAUAAAUUUCAAACAUCAAAUAGUUGUCUUGUAAGAGUUGUGUGUACUACGGCAGUCAAAACUGUAGUACAGAAGCUAGGAUGGUGUUUGUAAGAGUGAAGUCCAUGGAAUUAGCAUUCAAUCCUACCAUUAAAUUGUGUGAGCUACGGACCAGAAUUAGGAGGAAAGUCAGGGGAUCGACCCAGGGAAGAAUUUCAAAGUUGGAAUGCAGAUUUCUUGCUUCUGUUGACCCCUAUAGGUAUGAGUUAUUGGUGAGGUCCAUCUCAAAACAGUCAUAUCAUUACACUACUCAAGUAGAAAUGUUGUAAUGAAGUUACACGCCGAGUUUACCAAAGCUGAUCGGUUUAGCCUAUUUUUUACCACCAUUACGGUGAAUAUGAAAAUCGAAGCUAAAGCAGUAAGUUCUACUACACAAUUGUGCGGUGAAUUCACUAGCAUAUUAUAAAACAAUUACUAUGAUGUUUCCAAAAAAUCUAUGGGCAGACACUCAUCGGUCUUUGGUACGGAUCUAAACUUCGGUGCCUAGUACCGAUUAGGAUUUGAGCAUAACCCAAAUCUUGACACUUGGGCUCGACAUUCAAUCAGUACGUUCAAUUUCAACUUCGGCACUAAGUUGAUGUCAUAGGGCAGAAGCAAUUAUACAUUGGGAUCAUUGACGUACACCAGACAUCAAACCGAUGUAUUUUUUGGCAGGAACAUAGGUUAUAAGAGAACCAAUAACCUACUCAUUUCGAUAGUGAUCGAUGAAGGUACGUCCAGCUCCUUGCUUAAAUGUGACAAUAAAAGCACAAAUGAGGAAAAAGAUAUGGUUUAUGAAGAACGUACCGGUGAGGAAGAAAGGGUGGCCAAGGAAGAAGAUUCAGAUAAGGAAGAAGGGGCAAUAGAUCUAGUUGAUGAGGAGAAAUCAGACCUAAGCCAAUCCGACAGUAUAGUCUAGAUGGUUCAAAAGUGGCACUAUCUUUUGAACUGGAGCCAGAACCUUACAAGUUUGUAGAUAACGCCUCAAAUAAUGGCUCAAAUCUAGAUCCAUAGUUCAGGGCAUAUGAACCUGUGCCCCACAUUACGAACAUCAACCUAUCGGUCAAGGGUGGUUUAGAGUUUUCGCAGCUACCGCACAAAACACAUGGCAUGCAAGCAUAUCUCGUGAUGUACGAGUAUUGGAAGUUAGAAUGGAAUACUCAAACAAAGAUGUUUUCAUUGCUACACUGAAGCGGUAUAGAUUCAAGAACGGCGUGAACUAUUACGUUACGAAGUCUGUUCUUAAAAGUUCAAAGGAAAGUGCACAAUGUGAGAUAGAAGGUGCAAGUAGAAAAUCAUGGCAUCUUUUCAUAAGAAAAUCGGGCUAUGAACGAUAAAAAAGUAUUCUGGUCCACAUACUUUUGUUGUGUUGGGAGCAAGUUAAGACUAUCUGAGACUAGACUCUGACAUGAUUUUUGACAUUAUUCUACCGAUGGUGAAGACGAGUCCCAAGAUUCUUGUCCCAAUGUUGAUUGCAAACAUUUGUAGCCAGUACGAGUACACUCUAACGUACUAUAAAGUGUGGGUUACAAAACAGAAGACUAUGGAUAAGUUGCAUCACGGGUGGGAUAGUUCAUACAACUAUCUAUGGAAAUAGUGUCAGGUAUUUGAUUGGUACGUACUAGGUUUCGUAAUCGAUCUAAAAAUGUACCUGGCAUACUUCGGUGAUCAAUUGGUCCUUGGAAAAAGAGUAUUUCAUCGAAUCUUUUGGACUUUCGAUCAAUACGGAGAAGCUUUUCGGCACAACAAGCCUUUAGUUCAAAUUGACAGCACCUGGCUGUACGGAAGGUAGCAACAUUAUCUGUUGAUUACUGUUACUCAGUAUGGUAAUCGGAGGAUUCUACCGAUAGCAUUUGUAAUAACUGUUGGAGAAACGACAGAUGAAUGGGAUUUUUUCCUAAGCAAACUAAAACACAUUCACAAUGUGUGGAGUCUUAAAUUCCCAACUAUCCCAGAUAAGAUAUGUAGCCACUGGUGUCUAGUGUGUUGUACGAAUUGGUGCCAAACAAGGACCUACGUCGCGUCCCCAAAGGUCACCCGAAUUUCACCCGAAUAAGGAACAAUAUGGGUAUUCGAGAGAAGGACAAUCAACAGAGGUUAUGCGAGUACUAUAGAAACCUAGGCAUACGGAUACAACAUGUUCUCAGUAUAGGGGCACAUUGUGGCUACAACGUCGAUAGCAUUAUUUUCUUCCAAAUAAAAUACUAAUUACAAUGUUUCCAUUAUUCAGGUGUUUCAAAUUUGUUAUCUCUUGUUAACUUACACAUAACUCAUGUUAGACAAUAACGAAAACAAAUGUGAUGUUCAAAUGAAAAACCUCGGUUUAUUUAUUUAUUCCAAAAAUAUAUAUUUAUAUCGUACUAUUUAGAAAAAAAUACAUCAAUCGUCUUAUCGGGGAAAAUGUGUGCGAUGGUUGUAUCACUAUCGACGUGUAAUAAUAAGGUGACCCAAAUCUCAGGUACAUUAGCAUUGUCCUCGGCAUCGACACUGACAUCGACUGCUGCAUGAGCAUUUGUAUUGGUGUUGUCAUCGGUGGUGAUGCAUGCACCGGCAUCUGACCGGACAUCUGGCUCAGCAUUAAUACUGGCAUGGGGGUGAAGAAUGCGAGGGACGUCAGUGCCUCGAAAUAUAUACCUAUGAGAACAGAAUAAUUGCCCACGUAUGGUAGUGGUGCGUAGUGUGGUGGCUUGUGAAUGAAACAUGGGGUUUGUGAAGUAAAAAAAGAACAAGUGAAGUGAACAGACUCGAUUAUUGUGUAAACAUAGGUGACGCUUCUUCUGCUGGAGUCGAUAAUGACCCGUCGUGCGAUCGCGUCCCCUUCUAUGUUGCUGCUGUGAUGGUCAUCAUUGCCUCUUUGGCCAAAUUUGCCUACUCCUCGCUUCCGACAAUAGCAGAUACUGUUUUCCGGUGACUUUGAACCGCGUCAUAUAAUCGGUAUCUACUGUCGUAUCCGUUGAGAAAAAUGGAUUGCGGACAAUUAAGGAUUCCAUCCUACAAUCCCAAGCCUGGACGUGCUCAUUGUGCUUCUCUACCUAAUCUUCGUCGUUCUUCCCUAGCAUGUCCACCUUAUGCAGCUCAUUCAUGUCUCGCGGUGGCGGUGGAAUUCAUUGCCUCCACUUGAACUACCGUAACACCCAAAUCAUGCAUUUCCACUGUCGCGUACACUAUCAAUGGCACCUUUGUGCCCUACAUAUCUCGGUUUACAAACACUUCUGGCAGGAUGCAAGAUAUGAUAUUAGUGUCGGCAUACAAUAUACAUUUAAACUAAAAAGUAGAAUUACAAAUAUCGUUACGUACAAUUUUUUUACUAAUCAUUGUGUAAUUAAUAUAAGUUAGAAAUAAUAAGUAACUAACCUCGGCUUUGGAGCAUUGAUUUAAUAGUAGCCUAAAAUCUUCAAGCUCCUCCGGCAAUCCCGCGUAACUCGGCCCAUGGUUCAACCUGUACAGGCGAUACAUUAGUCGAAAAUAUAAUAAAUAAAAACAUUUAUCAUACAAACUACAUAUUUAUUAAUAAAUUUAAAAGUUUUACCUCGUCACCAACUGGAACACGUAUGGGUCGGCCACUCUAGGACGUAAAAAUGGUAGUUGCCACUAGGCCCACGACUGCAAUAGGAGCAAACAACCACCGAUCCAUGUCAUAUUUGAUACUGUGGCUCGACACAGCUCCCAAUAUAACGUGGACAAGACAAUAGACCCCCAACUUAGUUUUUAGCAUUCAGUGAAGUCCACUAGAUGUAGUAGCCGCCUAACGUGCACCAAAUUUUGAGAUUUAUCAAGCAUUAAAAUUCCCCUGAUUAACCUCAUGAUGAAUGUUCAAGCGUAUUGUUUUAUAACCUUCUCCGUUGGGUCUUCAAGAAGCUUUUCGAAAUUAUCCUCCAACCAGUUAAUCGAUAUUCGACCAUCGUCAAACAUGUUCGGGACCUUCCCUAACAUUGCUUUAUAGAGGUCCAUUUUACUGGGAACGACUGAGGAUCCUGUGACAAUUGGCCCAUCCAUCGGUAGACCGAGUUGUAACGCUACGUCCUCGAGUGUGAUUGUACACUUGCCGUAUGAAAGGUGGAAAAUGUGUGCUUCGAGCCUCCAUCUUUCACCAAUGCGCUGAUUAGUGUAGGAUCGAGUUUACAGCCCCUGAGCAUGUGAGAUGUAUGCAAGAAUCCAACCUCUUGCAAGUAGCCACGAAUUUGAGGGAUGGGAGGCUUUCUUAUAUUAUGUAUGAACGCCUCCAAAACACGAUCAUCCGCCUAUUUAUAACAUAAAAAAUUAUUUCAAAUUAUUAAAAAUAAUUAAUUAAAUUUAACAUAAUUGAAAAUAACAAAAUUUAAAAUUUCAUCAUACCAUUGCUGAUUGGGAGACAGAAAUAUGCUUGUUGUCGAAAUGAAUCAAAGAGAUGAUUAUUCGUGAGAAAUUAAUUCGAACAAAUAAAAUAUAAUAUAAUUAAAAAUAAUAAUAUUUUUAGAUGAGGAUAUCAAUAAAUGUAGAACAAAAAGAUUGGAAGAGAUUGAGAGAAUUGAAAGAAAGAUAGGAAUGAAAAAUAAAAUAAAAUUUGAGAGGAAUUUAUAGGAUAAAAAAGGAAGGAGAUAUUUAUAAAGUAAAAAAAAGUUACCUUGACCCAUUAAUUUUUUUUACCAAGUGAAAGAAAAGAAAUUGUUAUGCAAAGAAAUCCUCUCCCCAACUGGAUUCCGUUGUUAAAGAAUUGGGUCAACUGAAGUCUUACUGCUAUAUUCUAUCCAUGAAAUGCACUGCAUUUUCUCUUUGGAGCCUCCUUUACUCUUAAUUCUUUAUUUCGCUUCGGGGAUAUUAGUAGAUUAAAGUAAUUUGCAUCUGAAUAAACUCAUGUUACUAUCAAAAUUUUCAAAUUUUGGAAAGAUAAAAAGAUGAAAUCCAUUUUACAGUGAAUCUCUCCUACGUAUAUUCGGAUAUAUUUUACAUUGACGAAUUACGAAAUCUAAAAGGAAGUAGGCGGCACGGUCAUGGUUGCGUAACCAACCAAACCAAAGGACUUUUAUUUUUUAAAAACAGGUCAAGAUUUAGUGGCGUCACCUUCUUCAGCUCCUCCAAAAGCAGAGGAAAAACAAACCUCAUCUCCACAAUCAAACGUUCCACCACCAGAAAUGGUUCCUCCCUCCUCCUCUAUGGAUCCUUCUCCUCCUCCUUCCUGGUUCACUCCCAAACGGUAAAACUUCUUUCUUUAAAAAAAAAGAAAAGAAUAGAAAAUCAAUUUUAACCUUCUUUUUUU
This 70683-nucleotide long non-coding RNA is filed under the name Gossypium barbadense (sea-island cotton). RNAcentral describes it as "long non-coding RNA (GBAR_LNC010422)". Lineage: Eukaryota; Viridiplantae; Streptophyta; Magnoliopsida; Malvales; Malvaceae. The record is from RNAcentral.